GGCGGAACCACCUCGGAUUAACUUAAGUAAAGCACGGUUAGGCCACUUCACACGCGACACUCAUGCCUUAAUCAAGUUAACUCGAUGUGCCGUUGGAUUUCAUCCGAUUUAACCACUUAAUAGGACCGAGUUAGCAUAACCCACAUGAAGGUGAGUGGUUCCAGAGAAUACAAUAGAUCCACCAAUUAAUUAACAAUUCAUGACACCUUGGUUGAAAAUCAGAGUUUUACAAGUUCUGAAGAAAACAAAAGAAGGUAAACACAUCGCGGAAGCUAUCGUCGGGGUCGGAUGUCGCUAGUGAGGCUAGCCAGGACAUCAGUGAUCCCAUUCCCCGCCGUCCGAGGAGGGAUCCCACUCGACCGUCCAACCCGGAGGGAGCUGGGGCGGCCAAGUGCCAGCAGCAAGCUCUGAAGCUGCAACUUCACCUGAAAAGAGAAGCCACAAACAAGACUGAGCUUCUAAGCUCAACAAGACUUAACCGACCGGUGGGAAAAGCUACUCCACCAUGUCUAGACAUGUAAGGCUCUUUGGCUGAGGGGUUUUGUUUGCCAAAAGCGACUAUGUUAGGUCCUUGCUUUCAAGUUUUAGCUCAGAUUCUAAGUUCAUUUACGAGUCUAGGUUGGCAACUUACACUGAGCAAACAUAGAUCCAACUUUAUGUAUAUCAACUCAUCAUCAAGACCAUGUCAUCAUCAGACUCCUUCAUUACUCAGUGUAGCAUUAUGAUCAAGUAGUCUCAAACUGUGAGAGGCAGACGAAUCGAUUCGAGUUCUUUAACCAUGCAUGGUGAACCUAACCUCACGAGAUCCGCGCACCACCGAGGGUCGCUUCCUGUGUCGGUCUUCCCCAUCAAUUCCCUAACCCGUGUCGAGUCCACUUCCUUUGGUGCAAGGUUCCGUAGACCCGGCCUCUGCCAUUCUGUGACCACACUUGCCACCACGUGCGGCCGCAGGGGAACUUCGUUCCAAAGAUAGUGGAGCGAUCGCUCACAUUUAGGUUCAAUCAGGUACUAGGCUUCCCCAUCCCAUACUGGGUAUGAGAUUAGUACUUUCAAACACUUGAUCACGAACACCACCACUAUCGGGCCUUAACAGGUUCAGUAAACAGAUGGGACGAUCAGCCGACCACCAAAAGAGUUAACCAAAACCUUGCCCCGUCCAUUGUCCUUAUAGUUGUAACAGAAGAAAACAACCAACUCCUAUAACUCGCGAGUGACCGGAAAUCACUCAGCUUUUACCGAUGCCUAUUUAAGCAUUGCAACUACUCGACCCAACAGACUAGUGUACAUUUCAAAGGAACUAUGGCAUGCAUCUAUGGUUGCAAACAACUCCUAUACGUAAAUGCACAAUCAUGAGAAGGAAGGCAUGCGCAAGUUUGGAAAGAUGGGUUCAUGCUCCGGGGCUUGUCUUCAAGCGGAGAGGAGGGAAACUGGUCUUUAGCUGGGGCUGCUUCGUCUUCUGGGAUUGGCAGCUCAGCUACGGCUCCGUCUUUAGGCGCCGAGUGUAGCUCGUAGUUGCCGUCAGCGAGAUGUAACUCUACAUGAACGCAACUGCAGGGGUUAGUGUUUAGACGGUUAUUUCAACAACACUUGCAAGUUUAAGCUCAGACAUUCAUAGCAAAGCUACAGAAAAGGUGGGAAAGUUCACUUUAGUUGGGGGAGAACAGGAUAAAAGGGUCGGAUGGGGGAAAACUUGGGAUCUGACCCUUAAAGUUAAGGAAUAACUGUGCCGGGGUCCUCAGACUUAACACCGGGGAGUUCCCGAUAUUUUGCACAGAUACCCUCGGGUCAAGGAAAAGGAUAUCGCCGAGUCCUCGGGCGAGGUGAUAAGGGUCGGCGAAACAGACAGGGUCGGGCGAGGCGGAGAAGGGGUCGGGCGAAUCGGAAAGGGGUAGGCAGCUUACCUUCAGGUUUAUAGGUGAAGCUUGGGGUCGGGAAGGAGCAGACUUGGGUGGAAAGACUAAAGCACUAAGGCUUGGGCGGCGGCGAGGUUUGACGGUGCUCCGGCAGCGGCGAAGCUUCUUGUGGGCGACAAGGAAGCUCUAGCACAGCACGGAGGAGCAGACGGCUGGGUAGAUCAGGGAGAAGCGGACUUGAGCGGUGAGGGGAACUUCUCAAGAGUUUCAGCGGGAUUGCUCAAGUGCGCUCAGAGUAGGGGUGGUGAAACAGCAAUGGCGAAGGAACUCCGGUGGGACUCUGGCAUUCCCUUUUAUAGCAGCGUGGAAGAGAGAGAUUUCGAGCAGCACGAAGACCGGGAAGAAAAGGAUAGAGUGCGCUGCCAUGGCAGCGAUUGAGCGGCGGAACAGGACCUUGGAGAUAGAGUCUUCGGCUAUUGGGCACUGGAGACAAGGUGGCGCAGGCGCGGUUUUGCCGGGGUUUAGAUUUGGCGGAGGCGAGCGUAGCCUGGUCGCGUCGAGCGGCGGAUUUGACUGAUGUGACAGGGAGAAAGGUGCUACAAGCGAGGUUGCAACAGGCGAAGUGACAGGGCGAGCGGCAGCGCGGGCGAGCGUGAAACAGCGGCAUUGCCGGGGCACAUCACUGGUGAGGCGAGAAAAGGAGCUGUCGCUGCCGAAGUCAGGGUUGGCAAGGGAGGAAUCAUCGUGGAGUGAGCUCGUGGGCGGCGCGACUGUGGAGAGGAAGGAAAACCGGAAGGCAUCGGGUCUUACAGCCGGGGAUCCAGCAAGAUGAUGGGCGCGGGUUGCGAGGCGGUCUGACGCAAUAGCAGCAAAACUCUGCCACGGCGGCGACGGGGCACCUUGGCGCGGUCGGCGAGGGCGCGAGCGAGACGAGGCGAUGCAGAAAGGGUUGCAGAGGUGCUUCCGCUGCGAUUGGGGAGGAGGGCGCGUGGAUCCAUCCUGUCACGGCCGGCGACUGGGCGAAGCGGCGGGCGUUGGAGAGAUCAAGCCACGUGGUGGGGAAGCUCUGAAGCGGGCGCAUGCUGCUCGGCGCGUCUGCCUCGGGAGAUCCGGGGAGAAGGAUUUUGGGUCCACCAGUCAGUCUCGGUUGUUCCACAGCUCCAAGAUUGAAAGGAACACUACCUUUGGGGACUCAGAAGGAACCGACGGUUUUGGUUGGGUUCUCAGGGGUCGGGACUAAGAAUCGGUUUUGGAGCGCUUAAGCUUCGGGGAGCUGAGAUAGAGGGAUUUGGUACUUUCAGUUGAAGAUUAACUCGGCUGAUCAACCAAGGUCGUUACAGCCUCAUGCACUUGAACCGCCCCAAAUGCAACUUCCUUUCUACCGUAAUCCUUGCCUUGCAUCGUUUGGGUACAAACAUGAAUACAACUGACCUCCUGCAUGUGCAUGUCAUGUAGACGCAAAUCUCGCUGACGGCACCUACGAGCUCCACCCUGCACUAGAGGAAGAACCUGCUGCGGAGCUUUAUCACCUGGAGGGCGAGCCCAAGCUAGACCAAGACCCUGUGGAACCGCUAACUUUUCCUGAAGGCAAGCCCUGGUGCAUGCUUCCAUGUUUUUAAAUUUAUGCAAGUUGUUGAUGCUUAUGAUUGUGCAUUUAUGUUCGUAGGAGUUGAUUGAAACCAUAGAUGCAUGAACCUAGUACCUUGAUCUGAAUACUAGUUGCUAAGGUCGAGUAGCUGCAAUGCUUAAUAGGUCCCAGUAAAAGUCGAGUGAUUUUCUUGUCACUCGCGAGUUAUAGGAGUUGAAUGUUUUACUUACGCUACAACUAUAAGGACGAUGGACGGGGCAGGGCUUAUGUUCGAUACUUGGUGGUUUGCCUUGUCUGUCUAAAUGAAAUUGGAGUAAGGUCGAAAUGUGUCGGUGUUCGUGAUCAAGUGUUUGAAAGUACUAAUCUCAUACCUAGUAUGGGAUGGGGAAGCUUAGUACUUGAUUGAACUGGGGCGUGGCUUAUACUCCUGCUGUCCUUGGAACACCGUUCCCAUGGUGCAUCAUGUGGGUGCAAGUGCGGUCACAGUGCAGCAGUAGGCCGGGACUGUGGAGCAUUGCACGCCAAAGAUAGUUUGGCCCUGACACGUGCCUAAGGGAUCGAUGGGGACGGCUGACAAAUGAAGCGACCCUUCGUGGUGCGCGGAUGUCGUGAGAUUAGGUUCGCCAUGCAUGGUUAAUAAAUUCGAAUCGAUUCGUCUGCCUCUCACAGUUUGGGACUACUAGAUCGUUAUUCUGCACUGAGUAAAUAUGGAACAUGAUGAUGAUAUUAAUCUUGAUUUUUGUUCCGUAAUUGUUUGGAAACUAUGCUUGCUUAGUAUAAGUUGCUAAUCUAGACUUGUUAAAGAACGUAGAACUUGAGCUAAAAUCUUGAAAGUAAGGACCGACUAUAGACGCUUUUGGCAAAACAAACCCCUCAGCCAAAAAGCCUUGCAUGUCCAGGUUCUGAUGAAAAUGGUUAUCACCCGACGGGUCAGUCUUGGUGAGUACUAAUUGCUCAGCCUUGUUGUGGCUUAACUUUUCAGGUGAUGUUACUAGUUUGGCUACUGGCACCACUUGGCCGACCCAGCUCCCUCCGGGCUGGACAGUCGAGUGAGAUCUCUCCUCGGACGACGAGAGCAGGGAUUAUUGAUGUCAUGAUCGGCUUCGUCAUGAUAUCGUGUAUCGACAUUUAGCUUCCGCUUGUUUUAUCUCAUCUAGUCGAACCUUGCAAACUCGUUUGAAUUCUGAAAACUCUGAUGUAAUAAUUUGUUGAACUACAUUAAUGUGAUGGGAAUCUUGUAAUCACUGUGCUACUCACCUUCGUGUGAGCAAUGCUUCUCGAUCCUGUGUAAGUGGUUUAUCGGAUGAAACCCGACGGACGACUGAGUUGACUUGCUUAAAGUGCAUGAUCGCGUGUCAGGCGAUUUAAGUGCAUUUUAGCCAAGUUAAUUUGGACGGUUCCGCCACAGCUGGUAUCAGAGCUUGAAGCACGGUACAGAGAACAACAGACCUUAAAGCACUUUUUCUGAAUAAAAUUUGCAUGAAACUAGUUGAAAAAUUCGUAAGUUCGUUAAGGAUGAGUUUGUACGAGAAGCCCUUGGGGAAUUUUUGGGUCAUUUAAGGUGGCUAGUACCUAUUGGUUAUUUUCUAACUUCCAGCACUUGUCGCCACAUUUAUCAUACGUGUGCAGAGUUCAACAUCGCGAGUAUGCGAAGGGUGAUGGGAACUCGAUUCCAACGAGCCUGUCAUCACGGUUGUUUUCGCCCACGUCUAUUAUACGUGCGCAGGUUCUGUAUGUUAACUCAUGCAAAGGAUGGUAUGGUUCGAUUCCAACGAGCCUAUCAUCACGGUUGAUCUCCCACGUCUAUCAUACGUGUGCAGAGUUUCGCAUCGCGAGAAUGCGAAGGGUUAUAUGGUUCUAUUCAAAGGAACCUAUUUCCACGAUUGUUGCGCUGUCCAUGCAGCGUUAAACGCAUGGGUGCCAUUUCUAUAGUGAACGGUAAUGGUUGUGGAUGCUUUCGUGGGUGCUAGCACGAAAGGUUCAGGUGGUUGUGUUUUCCUGCAGGUACACUAACUACGUUUACGUGCGAAACGAUGCCUAGCAACUCGACUAGUUAUUAUAGUGAGAGUCAUAUUGUUGCCUUGCCACCAGCACUAAUUACGUAAGUCCAAGGCUUUUUGGCGAUUGUUUGGGUUGUGAGGACGACUAGGACGUGCAUGCAUUGGAAAAUAAAAAUUGCAACCUAAAGAAUAAAUCCGAGCUCGUGUGUGUCGUAAAAGAAAUACACCGCAAUAAGGAUUUUCUAGCCGUCUUUUUUCCGCCAUGCGAGCUGUGAUAAAAAUCUUUUAGGUUGUUCCAAGCGAUAACUCCAGAAACUUUUUAUAAGAAAAUUUUGUUAAAUAUCCUAAAUAACUUGCUGUAAAAUUUUUACAAAAUGCUACCACCUAGGUUGGAAGUUAGGGUCGGCUUUGUUUGGCUGAUAACACUGGGUGUAUACCAGUUGGAGUGUUAUUGUUUCGACCUCCCCCCUAACACCUUUUUUUGCCAGGAGCCCUUUUAUCUAAGUUGCUCAGAGCUUAGUAAAGGACUUGGUGGUAAAGUUUCAGCUUCAUUAGGACUCUGGUUCUGAAGUUAUGCUCAGUUUCCUUCAGCUCGGUUUGAAAAAUUCCAGCAUGUACCACUUAAUAGAAAUCUGAGCUUAUCACCCUAUUAGGUCCUGUUCUAGCUCUACCUUUGAAUACCAAACUUGUUGCGCACUACCUAAAAAAUAUGCUGGUAAAGUUUGAGAAAUUUCGGAUAAACACUUGCCGAGUUAUGAGCUUUUCUCUAACUGUCCAAAAUCUGUUUUGAUUUCCGAGUGUUGAUUCCGUUUCUCACUUGUCCUUUUGUUACAGAUGGCUCACCCCGUGUACGUUGCGGUUGGUGUAGAUGGCACCACCCACUCGAGGUGCCUCCACUACGAGGGUUUUCUGACCAUACUGUGGGACACCCUGCGUUCCUUUGGGUACCCGUGGCCGCCUGUUUAUGUGGGACGCGCGUACCAGGACCAUGGGAUUCCUCGGAGCUGCAUGCAUAUGAAGGUGCCCCUACCCCCGGAAUAGCCCCAGUGGCCACUGUUGGAGGUCGUGGACGAGGGACACACUUUGCAGGACACUUGGGAGUUUGCAGCUUUGCAGGCGCUGACACAGUUUUGCAGGGCACCCCCCCUGAAGAUUGUGUUAGACCCGAUUGGGUUGUUCCCUACCAGAGAUAGGAGAGAUCCGGAUUGGUUGGACCGCAUGGAGCACAUGGACUUGCUAGAUGAUUUGGACCCACAGUGCACGAUCUUUGUUUCAGCUCGCUACCUGAAUGCGUUCUACCGGAUGGUUGAGAUGCAGAGUAGGGUGAUGACCACUGUGAUUGGGAUGGCCAUGGCCAACCAGAUUGCCCUCACUACCGUGCAAAAUGGCAUGGUGGACUUGUCACUUGAGUUAGUACAGAAGGAUGUCCAGAUUUCUGAUAUGCAGAACCGGAUUACUAGUUUAGAGGAGAAUAUAGUAGAGAUGGAGCAUGACAUGGAGAUGUUGGCCGACCAAUUCCAUGAUGUGAACAUGGAGUUGACAAACACCAACGAGCACCUACAGGAGCAUCAUGCUGAGCUUGAUGCUAUCCACGCUUUAGAGGUGCAGCUGGAUGAGCCAUGGCUUAGGAGGAGGAGCCCGAGGAGAUCGAGGGCUUUUCAAGUAUGGAUUUUGAGGAAGCCACUCCGCAGCCUCGAGUCAGCGACGCUCACUCUUCGGCACUCAGCUUUGCCUCCGUAGGCAACCUUAACGACUUUUAGAUGAAUCGGCUUGUUGUGAGCGAUUCCUUUUGUUGUACUCCUCGACGACCUAUAGUUUUGGCUAGUGAUGUAAUAGGUUAGCUUGAGUUGAGUAGUCGGGUGUUGAAGAACUGAUUCCAUGCGUAGAUCUGCCGUUGCUACCAAUUAGUGUAAUGUCCGAAAGUUUAUGGCAGAAUUUCAGUGGCUGUUCUCCUCCAUUUUACCCUAUCUCCACUCAUUUUUGAUCCGAGGAUUGAAUACCAAAGCUGUGCGGGAACAUGUGUUCUAACUGCUCGUCAAAUUUUAGCUCCUUUGGAUCUGUCAAACUCGCGUUAGAACUACAACUCCGCAGCUCAGCUUGCUGAAGAUCAGCCCAGAAUAGAAACGGUGACCUCCGCCGACUUGGCCCGACCCCUCGCAGUGGGUCUCCACCUCGCUCGACCCCGGGCGCUACGGGUUGGACGUAUCCUGACCCACGAGACAGAGCUUCGCCUCGCCCAACCCUAGACGCUACGGGUCGGACGGACCCGAUGGCCACCAUCCGAGCCUUGCGCAUAGAAAAAAAAUACUUGCCGGAAUCUUGGCCGUGAUUAUUUUGACACCGACAGUUGGCGCGCCAGGAGCCAGCUAAUUGCUGACUGAGAUAUGCACCUACUUAAUAAAAGAUAUGAUUGUUGUGUUUGCAUUAUCGGCAAGAUUAGCAUUUAAAGAUUCAGCACAUAAUUUCCCUUAUGAUUGGAAAGCUUUAGGGAUUAUGUGACUAAUGGAAAGAUGACUCUUGCUGAUGGUGCACCGCACCUGCUCCGGCUCUAUUCCCAGUGGCAGUGAGUAGAGGCAGGUGCCUCCACCGCCUCCGCAUCCGCCCACACUAGAGGCAAUCUUGGCUUCUCGAACUGAGUUGUUGAGGCACAUCGCCCAGGGGCAACAUCAGCAGCCCCAGGGAGGAAGAGCUCAUCAGCAACCUCAUGUUGCUCGCUACGAGGACUUUCUGGGGACACAGCCUCCUCUGUUCCAUAAGAUGGAGGAUCCGCUCGACGCCGACACCUGGAUUCAUGCCAUCAAGUCCAAGUUCUCCCUCCUCACUGCCCAUUGCCCGGAUGAGAACAAGGCUCGAUUUGCCGCGCAGCAGCUGCAUGGUUCUGCCCUCCUAUGGUGGGAUCAAUACCAUGCCAUGCAGCCGACCGACCACCUCGUCAGCUGGGAGGAGUUCAAGACGGCGUUCAGGGGCCAUCAUAUCCCUGAGGGUCUCUUGGAGCGCAAGCUCAAUGAGUUCCUGGCUCUCAUCUAGGGAAGUCGCGAUGUCCUGCACUAUGCGCAGGCUUUCAACGAUCUAUGCCGCUAUGCCGGCUACCAUGCGGACACCGAUGAGAAGAAGCGGGACAGGUUCCGCAGGGGAUUGAGCCUGGAGCUCAGGGAGAGGUUGAACCCGAUAAAGGUGAAUACAUAUAAUGAGCUGGUCAACUUGGCCAUCUCACAAGAGGAUUGCAUGAAGGCUGUCAAGACCGACAUGAAGCGGAAGGCUCCAAUGUCAGCACCCAGCCCACCUGCAUAGAGAUACAUGAUGGUUCCCUCAUAGGCGCCCCACCGACCACAACAGUUGGGGAGAUGGGUUGCCCGACCUCCACCGCAGGCAGCACCUCGUUUCCCGGAAUUUCAACAGCAGGCACCGCGGCCGACCCUACCAAUGCCGCCACGCCCUGCUAUUGGAAACCGCUGCUUCACCUGCGGAAAUCCAGGGCACUUUGCCAAGGACUGCCCCCACAACAAGAAUCAGCGCCUAGGUCAGAACAAUGCGAUGAUCAACAAGGGAAAGAAGCCUAGAGUUCAGGUCCGACAAGGCAGGCUGAACUUCACCACCCUUGCCGAACUUCUGGAAGGCGCACCAGUGAUGACAGGUACUUUCUCUAUCCAUAACCAACCCUUCCUUAUUCUGUUCGAUUUGGGAGCAUCCCAUAGUUUCAUUGGGUCCAGAACCUGUGCUAAGUGUGGCUUAGGAUUCUGUCACACGAAAGGGGCAUAUAUAAUCUCUACCCCAGGUAGGAAAGUAUCCUCAUACCAAUUGACCCACCAGGUACCUAUCAAUCUAGGAAGAACCCUUUUUAAGGAAAACCUCCUUAUCCUUGGGAUAGAGGGGAUAGACAUUAUCUUGGGAAUGGAUUGGAUGACUCGGCAUCGAGUGGCACUAGACAUCCCUGCCAGAGCAGUUUACAUAAAUUCACCCAUUUAUGGUAGCUCAAUCAUACACUUACCCCACCGCAAGUGCAAAAAUUCUUGUGCCUAUCCUGUAAUUGAAGCCCGACUGGAGGACAUUCCAGUAGUAUGUGAGUAUCCCAAUGUGUUUCCAGAUGAUUUGCCAGGUAUGCCGCCUGAUAGAUAUAUCGAGUUUGCUAUUGAGUUGCAACUAGGGACUGCCCCAAUUUCAAAGAUACCAUACUGAAUGCCACCCGCAGAGCUGGCGGAAAUGAAAAAUUCAGUUGCAUGAUUUCCUGGAAAAAGGUUUUAUUCGUCCAAGUACAUCACCUUGGGGUUGUCUAUCUUUGUUUGUGAAAAAGAAGGAUGAGAGUCUACGUAUGUGUAUGGACUACCGACCCCUCAAUGCGGUGACAAUAAAGAACAAGUACCCACUACCCCGCAUUGAUGUCCUGUUUGAUUAGUUAGCUGGAGCUAGAGUAUUUUUUAAGAUUGAUCUUUGUUCCUACUACCAUCAAAUCAUGAUCCGACCGUGCAACAUUCCUAAGACCACCUUCUCUACGCGGUAUGGACUAUAUGAGUACUUAGUCAUGUCGUUUAGGCUUACUAAUGCGCCGACUUAUUUCGUGUAUCUCAUGAAUUCGGUGUUCAUGCCUGAACUUGACAAGUUCGUUGUGAUAUUCAUCAACGAUAUCCUGGUGUACUAGAAGAAUGAGGAAGAACAUGCAGAGCACCUUCUUACUGUGCUCCAAUGCUUAAGAGAUCACCAACUCUAUGCCAAAUUCUCCAAGUGUGACUUCUGGCUGGAUAGUGUUAAAUUCUUGGGGCACACUAUAUCUAGCGACAGCAUAGCAAUAGACCCAAGCAAAGUUCAAGAAGUGAUGGACUGGAAGCCACCCACUUUAGUUCAUCAAAUUCAAAGUUUUCUCGGCUUAGCAGGCUACUACCAUCGAUUCAUUCCUGACUUCUUAAAAAUAGCUAAGCCAAUGACUGAACUAUUGAAGAAAGGAGUUAAGUUUGUGUGGAGCGACAAAUGUGAAGAAGCUUUCCACACCUUGAGACAAUUGUUGACUUCUGCACCGGUUUUAGCUCAGCCAGACACCACUAGGCCGUUUGAUGUUUAUUGUGAUGCCUCUAGCACUGGACUUGGGUGUGUUCUUAUGCAAGACAACCGAGUCAUUGCCUAUGCCUCGCGAGCGCUACGACCACAUGAGCUAAAUUAUCCUACCCAUGAUCUUGAGUUAGCAGCAGUCGUCCAUGCUCUGAAAAUGUGGAGACAUUAUCUUAUGGGGACUCGUUGCAAUAUCUAUACAGAUCACAAGAGUCUCAAGUAUAUCUUCACUCAAGCAGACCUCAACAUGUGUCAAAGAACAUGGUUAGAAUUGAUCAAGGACUAUGACUUAGAAGUGCAUUAUCACCCAGGCAAAGCCAAUGUAGUUGCCGAUGCUCUCAGCCGCAAAAGCCAUUGUAACUGCUUGUCUGCAACCAACUAUGCCUAGACCUUAUGUCAUGAGAUGGCUAAGCUUAAAUUGGAAAUUGUUUCCCAUGAAAUCUUAAAUCAUAUUUCUCUUGAGCCUACCCUGGAGGACCAGAUUGUGUUAACACAAUUGGAAGAUAAAGAGAUAAAACUUAUCAAAAAGAAGCUCGCAUAGAAAGAUGAGGGAUAUAAGCACUUCUGACAGAAUUGGAAGGGAGUUGUAAAUUAUGAAGUCGAAUAUAAAGAGAAUAAUAAAUAUGAAAGAAAAGAAGUUCAUAAAUCUCAAGGCCCAUGAUUGCCACAUGUUGAUGACCCAGUUGCUUCCGAUUGUACUGAGGGCCGACAAAAUUUCUGGUGGAAUGGGAUGAAACCAGAUAUUGCUUGAUAUGUUUUAGAAUGUGAUACUUGUCAAUAGCAAGCCAUUUGAAGGUAGCUGGCACCUUGCAGCCGCUGCCUAUUCCUUCAUGGAAGUGGGAGGACAUAAGCAUGGACUUCAUAGUCGGAUUACCCAAUACCUCUCGCAAGCAUGAUUCCAUAUGGGUUAUAGUGGACCAACUUACCAAAAUAGCGCAUUUCCUUCCGGUACACACUACCCGCAUCGUACAAAAAUAUGCAGAGCUGUACCUUGACCAUAUUGUUUCCUUGCAUGGUGCGCCUAAAACUAACAUCUCUGAUCGAGGUAGCCAGUUUGUAGCAUGCUUUUGGGAACAAUUGCAGUCUUCACUUGGCACUAAGCUAAUUCGUAGCUCCACAUACCACCCUCAAACCGAUGGACAAACUGAAAGAGUCAAUCGGAUAUUGGAGGAUAUGCUACAUGCUUGUGUCAUGCAUUAUGACAAGAAUUGGGAGAAAUGUUUGCCUUUAGCAGAAUUCUCAUAUAACAAUAGCUACCAAGCUAGCUUGAAAAUGGCACCUUUCGAGGCCUUAUAUGGAUGUAGAUGCCAAAUCCUGCUAAGUUGGUCACAACCAGGAGAACGAACAGUGUAUGGACCUAACUUGGUCAUAGAGGCUGAAGAAAAAGUGAGAGUUAUCCGAGAAAAUCUUAAGGCCGCCCAGUCCCGACAGAAGAGCUAUUUCGAUCAGAGGAGAAUACCUAUCCAAUUUGAGGUUGGAGAUUUUGUAUACCUUCGAGUAUCGCCGACCAAGGGCGUAUAGCGUUUCGGAGUGAAAGGAAAAGUUGGCUCCACGCUAUAUUGGUCCCUAUGAGAUUGUGGAGAUUUGUGGACCUGUAGCGUACCGAGCUAAUCUCCCGGAGAAGAUUGCUGUGAUACACGAUGUUUUCCAUGUUUCGCAACUCAAGAAGUGUAUUCGAGUUCCAACCGAAGUUCUUGCCCCGGAAGAAUUGGAGAUUGAACCCGAUUUAUCAUACAAGGAAUAUCCUGUCAAGAUCCUCGACCAGAAAGAAAGACAUACUCGUAGACAAAUGGUGAGAAUGUACAAAAUUCAGUGGAGUAACCAUACGAAAGAUGAAGCAACAUGGGAGAUAGAAGAGUAUCUCAACACUAACUUCCGCGGUUUUCUUUUCGACCAGGGAGGUACGUUGCACCAGCCACACUAGUUCUUUUCUGCACUUGAAUCUCGGGACGAGAUUCCCUUAAGGAGGGUAGGCUGUAACAACUCUGCCUUAAUUUGGUGUACUUAAACCUAAACCAGUUGUUAGUUUCUAAAUGAAAGAGGUAACAUGUCCUUUUCGACCCUAAAAAGCUCUUUUUGGAGUUUAAUUUAAAAACUUGAGUUUUGGUUUGCAAACUUGAAUUUUUGCCCAAAUAAGAGUUGUAAAAAUUUUAAUUUCAAACAAAUUUUGUUAAAACGACUUUGGCUAUUUCUACUCAGAAGAUGCCCCAAAGUCGAGUCAAAGAUAGCCAAACCCCUAAAAUCCCACCCACUCGGCUGAAUUGCCUAAGUCUGAAAACUGUGGUUUUUGGCAAACCUUGGCUCGAGUUAUCCCCAAAUCCUUUCAAAAUCUGAGCAAAUACCUGUAAUAAAGUUUGAACUACGACCUGAGUACUACAAGUUUGCUUAAGGGGUUUUCGAAAGUUCAGUUUAAAAAAAAAAUCUUGAGAGGAGAGCCCCCAAAGUCGGUCAAGUUUGCUGCCCGACACUGCCUCGAUGCCAGUGCGAUCGAGCAUGUUCACCCGCGCGCCACGUGGCCGCUGGCCAUUGGCAUCUCGCCGGCACCCUAUCCCUGACAAGGAGGCGAAAGGAUGGGAGCCUCGACGCCCAACCCGCGCCCACGACAAGACGGAGCGAGCACCGUGCUGGCCAAUUGCCGGCCGAGCACAUCCUUGCCCCUCCCGCGCAUCCACGCCGCCAACCCGAGCUUCGCCCGCUCGCCGAAAAAGCUGCCACACCGCCAUCGUCCUACGCCUCCGCCCGCUCACCCAACCAGAGCCUUGGCGCUCUGCUUCGCCCGCCCGCCCGACCGGAUGUACGCGCCACGCUUCGCCCGUGGCCAACCACGGCAAGAGCGCACCCAGAGCUCCGCUUCCCACGGCCAAUGGUGCCGCUAGCCAAUGGUCACCUCGCUCGCGCACCCACCUUUCCCCGGCCUUAUCCUACCGCACACCGACCGAGCCGCCGUACCCAAUCCUAUGCUUGGCGCGACCAGACGCACGCUCGACCUCACCAAUCCUUCCACCCAGCGAAACCACGCUUGCCUGACGCUAUCUCCUUUUCCCAAUGCUUGGAGGAUCCUGCCCCUGGAGCUCCACUUCUCCGGCCAAUGGAGGCACCGCCCAAUCGCCGCCGUAACACAACACUUCCUUCUUCCCUGAUCUUAUCCUCUCGUCCGCUUGAGCUCGCUUCCUUCCUCCGAGCACUUCCGCGUAGCUAGAAAAGGGGUACCGAAACCUCUUACCGGAGCCCCCCUGGCCAUCACUACUUUUGCUGCUCUACUACUCUGUUCUUAUCCACCGCACUCGCCCCCGCCUAAGCUCUCUAUGGAACUCCCCCUUUCCGCCCAACCCCGCACUUGGCCAACACCACCCACCACUUCGCCAUCCUCUCGCACAGCUCUAGAGCUUGCUUGUUGUCCGCGGGAAGCACCACCGCCGCUGGAGCACCGCCGAACCUCGCCGUCGCCCAAAGCUUACCGCCUUCCGCCGUUCCACUUCGGCUUGUUUUCUUCCCCGACCCAAGACCUGGUCCGUAGGACCGGAGGUAAGUUGCCGACCCUUGUCCGUCUCGCCCGUCCCUAUCCGUCUCGCCCGUCCCUUGUCCGUCUCGCCCGACCCUUGUCCGUCUCCCUCGACCCUAUCCGCCUCGCCCGAGUGCUGUCCGCCUCACCCGAGUGCUGUCCGCCUCGCCCGAGGGCUCGGCUGUAUCUUUUUCUUUUGACCGAGGGUAUCUGUGUAAAAAUUCCGGGGACUUCUCUGUGUUGAAUCUGAGGAUCCCGGUAUAGUCUUUCCUUAAAGUCUAAGGGUUAGAUCGCAAGUUUUUCCCAGUUCGACUCUUUUAACGUGUUCUAAAUCAACAGAAGCUUGGAAGUUGCACCUUAAAUCGUAGAAAAAUCAGUUUUAUACCAAAUCUCUUUUGUUGGAAUCCUUGUUCUGUCCAGUUUCUUGCAAAAUGAAGCAAUUUUGGGAGACGUACAUAAAAACAUUCGGAAGUAAAUAACUUACCUAAUGCAAUUGAACUGCCCUAAAUGCAACUUCCUUUCUACCGUAAUCCUUGCCUUGCAUCGUUUGGGUACAAACAUGAAUACAACUGACCUCUUGCAUGUGCAUGUCGUGUAGAAGCAAAUCUCACCGAUGGCACCUACGAGCUCCACCCUGCACCAGAGGAAGAACCUGCUGCGGAGCUUCAUCACCUGGAGGGCGAGCCCAAGCUAGACCAAGACCCCGUGGAACCGCUAACUUUUCCUGAAGGCAAGCCUUGGAGCAUGCUUCUAUGUUUUUAAAUUUAUGCAAGUUGUUGAUGCUUAUGAUUGUGCAUUUACGUUCGUAGGAGUUGAUUCAAACUAUAGAUGCAUGAACUUAGUACCUUGAUCUGAAUACUAGUUGCUAAGGUCGAGUAGCUGCAAUGCUUAAUAGGUCCCGGUAAAAGUCGAGUGAUUUCUUGUCACUCGCGAGUUAUAGGAGUUGACUGUUUUACUUACGCUACAACUAUAAGGACGAUGGGCAGGACAGGGCUUAUGUUCGAUACUUUGUGGUUUGCCCCGUCUGUCUAAAUGAAAUUGGACUUACGUCAAAACGUGUCGGCAUUCGUGAUCAAGUGUUUGAAAGUACUAAUCUCAUACCUAGUAUGGGAUGGGGAAGCCUAGUACCUGAUUGAACUAGGGUGUGGCUUAUACUCCUGCUGUCCUUGGAACGCUGUUCCCAUGGUGCAUCAUGUGGGUGCAAGUGCGGUCACAGUGCAGCAAUAGGCCGGGACUGUGGAGCAUUGCACGUCAAAGACAGUUUGGCCCUGACACGUGCCUAAGGGAUCGAUGGGGACGGUUGACAAAUGAAGCGACCCUUUGUGGUGCGUGGAUGUCAUGAGAUUAGGUUCACCAUGCAUGGUUAAUAACUUUGAAUCGAUUCGUUUGCCUCUCACAAUUUGGGAGUGCUUGAUCGCUAUUCUGCACUAAGUAAAGAUGGAACAUGAUGAUGAUAUUAAUCUUGAUGUUUAUUCUGUAAUUGUUUGGAAACUAUGCUUGCUUAGUUUAAGUUGCUAAUCUAGACUGGUUAAAGAACGUAGAACUUGAGCUAAAAUCUAGAAAGUAAGGACCGACUAUAUACGCUUUUGGCAAAACAAACCCCUCAGCUAAAAAGCCUUGCAUGUCUAGGUUCUGGUGAAAAUGGUUUUCACUCGACGAGUCAGUCUUGCUGAGUACUAGUUGCUCAGCCUAGUUGUGGCUUAACUUUUCAGGUGAUGUUACAAGUUUGGCUACUGGCACCACUUGGCCGACCCAGCUCCCGUCGGGCUGAACAGUCGAGUGGGAUCCCUCCUCGGACGGUGAGGGCAGGGAUUAUUGAUGUCAUGAUCGGCUUCGUCAUGAUAUCAUGUAUCGACAUUUAGCUUCCGCUUGUUUUAUCUCGUCUAGUCGAACCUUGCAAACUUGUUUGAAUUCCGAAAACUCUGAUGUAAUAAUUUGUUGAACUACAUUAAUGUGAUGGGAAUGUGGUAAUCUCUAUGCUACUCACCUUCGUGUGAGCAAUGCUUCUCGAUCCUGUGUAAGUGGUUUAUUGGAUGAAAUCCGACGGACGACCGAGUUGACUUGCUUAAAAUGCAUGAUCGCGUGUCAGGCGACUUAAGUGCAUUUUAGCCAAGUUAAUUUGGAUGGUUCCACCACAGUAAUACUAGUGGCUUCAAUAUUUUUCCAAUAAAUUGAGUUAUAUCACUGAUUUAAUCAGAAGGUUUCAUAUUUUUCUCAGCUCCAGAUUAAUUGUUAUGCAAAAAGAUGGAAAUACUCUUAGAUUUCCAUGGCAAAACUUAAACAGAUGAUUAAACUUCUGAGCUGGGCUCUAAAACAUUUUUCCUAGUUUCUACUGCUUGAAACAAACAUGUGAGAGUUGGUUUCAUAUUUUUAUGAUAUUUCUAUGAUUUGUUAUGAUUUAAAUGGCUUAAACAAGAAUUAAAACAUACCACAUUAAUUCCAACAGUGAUACAUGCCAAAAGUAUUUUUAUUAAAAACUAAUCUUUAUUCUGAGCCUAGCAAAAUUGGUUUGGCAUUUUUCUGAGUUUUCUACAAAUUUUGGUGAAUUUUUAAAGUUAAACACAAUUUCUGCCGAUUAAAACAUUUAAACCGAGGUAAACUUGUAGGGAUACGAGGUAGGCUACACUAGCGCAAAUCAAAAUUUUUACCGCGUAAUCCAGGAAAACUGCCAUAUAAGGAUCACGGGAUUACCACCUGACGCACUGAUGCGGAAGAUGUAGAUUCACGUCGAUGCAGCGAAGUCGAUCAGCGUAGUCGUACGUAGUCAAUCACGUCGACGUCCAGCAGCUCGUCCACGUGCAGCAAGAUCGCCCUCGUGCCACGGCUCGUCGUCGGCUCGUCGUGGCUCGUCGGUGGCUCGUCCAAGUGUUGUAGGCGCAGCACUUCCAAGGUAUCCACACGUGCAGGGAGGAAGCGUCGCAAGCUAGACUGCUAGGUCCGUGAGAUGCAAAGGUGAGAGCGUCGGAGGCGCAGCAGAUGUGUUUCGCCAAAACGGUGUCAACCCUAGGGCGCCCCACCCCUCUAUUUAUAGAGGUUCCUAACGGGCCUAUGGGUCCAAGGCCCAUCAGUACUUCUAAACCUAAUCCAACUCGGAUCACAUCCGAAUUGAGCUUCCAACCCCUUAAGUGUGACCCUAUGGGUUCGGAUACGUAUAGACAUGGCCCGAGUACUCCUACUUGGUCCGAGUACUCCUACUUGGCCCAAUAGUCGGUAGCGGCCUCUAGCAAGACAUGCCAACUCCUAUACGCACACGAAGAUCAUAUCAGAUGAACCAUCACAAUGUUAUAUACAUGCUAUUCCCUUUGCCUCAUGAUAUUUGGUCUAGCUUCAAGCCGACCGCUCUUUCUCGAUCCUAUGAUUCGGAAUCCCUUUGUAGGUUAACUCUUAACCGUACGUAGCAUGGCCAUGUAUUUUCGGAUCCGAUCACUCGAGGGGCCUAGAGUUAUCACUCUCAAUCAGAGAGGGGCAAAUCCCAUCUUGAUUGACCAAGUCUCAUAGCAUGCUUCUUGAUAAACUCGAAAGCUACCUUUAUAACUACCAUGUUACGGCGUAGCGUUUGAUAGCCCCUAAGUAAGUCGAUCCACAUCUUGAGUACAUGCAACAAUCUCAGGUCUAAGGACAAAGCGUAUAUGUUGUGUAAAGAGAGAACUACUUCUCUUGUUGGGUCAGUCCUAGCACAUGUCUCCACAUGUGCCCACAUUAUUAAUUCAACAUCUCCAUGUCCAUGACUUGUGAAACAUAGUCAUCAACUAAUACAUGUGCUAGUCUAAUAUUCAUGUGUGUCCUCACAUGAACUCCGACUAGGGACAACUUUAGAAUAACCAUACAAGUAAAGAGUUUCACAUACAAUUCACAUAAUUGCAAAUCAAUUCAAGUAGCCUUUAAUGGAUAUUCAAGGAACACAAUAUAAAUCAUGGAUACAAAUGGAAUAUCAUCAUCUCUAUGAUUGCCUCUAGGGCAUACCUCCAACAGUCUCCCACUUGCACUAGAGUCAAUCUAGAAGGUACCUAAUACCCAUGGCUCUUACAUGCGCAUCAUGCUUAGCCUGCGAAAGUGGUUUUGUCAACGGAUCAGAAAUGUUCAGAUCCGUGUGUAUUUUGCAUAUGUUGAUCUCACCCCGGUUAACGAAGUCUCGAAUGAGAUGAAAUCGCCGCAUUACGUGUUUGUUUUUCUGGUGGUUCCUUGGCUCCUUUGCUUGCGCAAUUGCCCCAUUGUCAUCACAGUAGAGAUUCAAUGGGCUGGACGCAUUCGGGAACACACCAAGCUCAAUGAGAAAAUUCCUUAUCCAAACACCCUCCUUCGCGGCUUCUGAAGCCAUGAUGUACUCAGCUUCUGUCGUAAAAUCGGCUACCGUCUUAUGCUUGGAACUCUUCCAACUAACAGCACCACCAUUUAGCGUGAACACAAAUCCUGAUUGUGACUUUGAAUCAUCUCUGUCGGUUUGGAAACUAACAUCGGUGUAACCUGUUACAACGAGCUCCUCCUCACCUCCAUAGACGAGGAGCAUAUCUUUAGUCCUUCUCAAGUACUUAAGAAUGUUUUUCACCGCUGUCCAGUGACUCUCACCUGGAUCAGACUGGUGUCUGCUUAUCAUACUUAGCGCACAUGAAACAUCUGGGCGAGUACUUAUCAUUGCAUACAUGAUAGAUCCAAUAGCCGAGGCAUAUGGCACUCUACUCAUGCGAUCCCGCUCAUCAGCAGUCGAAGGACACUGAGUCUUGCUGAGAUGUAUGCCAUGUGACAUAGGCAAGAACUCUUUCUUUGCCUCUUCCAUGCUGAACCGCUUCAACACUUUGUCAAUGUAAGUAGCUUAAUCCUAUAAGCCUUCUCGAUCUAUCUCUAUAGAUCUUAAUGCCCAGAAUAUAUGCCGCUUCCCCCAAGUCCUUCAUCGAAAAACUAUUUUUCAGUGAAGUCUUUACAGACUCAAGCAUAGGAAUAUUAUUUCCAAUCAGUAAUAUGUCAUCCACAUAUAAGAUUAGAAAUACUAUAGAGCUCCCACUAACCUUCUUGUAAACACAAGACUCUUCUUCGUUCUUGGUGAAGUCAAACCCUUUGACCACUUCAUCAAAACGAAUGUUCCAACUCCUAGAUGCUUGCUUCAAUCCAUAGAUGGAUCUCUGAAGCUUGCAUACCUUUCCAGCAUUUUUCGGAUCGACAAAACCCUCGGGCUGUAUCAUAUACACGUCCUCAGCUAGGUUUCCAUUCAGGAAAGCUGUUUUGACAUCCAUCUGCCAUAUCUCAUAAUCGAAAUAUGCAGCUAUAGCUAGAAUAAUCCGAAUGGACUUAAGCAUCACUACGAGCGAUAAGGUGUCAUAGUAGUCAACUCCUUGAACUUGUCGAAAACCUUUUGCGACAAGUCGUGCUUUAUAGAUGUGAAUAUUUCCAUCCAUGUCAUUUUUCUUCUUAUAGAUCCACUUGCACUCUAUGGCUUUGACACCAUCAGGCGGGUCAACCAAGUUCCAAACUUGAUUGUCUCCCAUGGCCUCUAUUUCGGAUUGCAUGGCACUCUGCCAUUUUUCGGAGUCUGGGUCCAUCAUUGCUUCAGCAUAUGUCGCAGGCUCAUCAUUGUCCAACAAUAAUAUUUCCCGCAUUUCGCAGAGCCUUGCCGACCUUCGUGGUUGUGGUGGUGCCAUGGGUAUCUCAACUUGUUCUGCUACAUUAGCAUCACUCAUUGAUUCUUGCACGAUCGGCUCAUCUUGAACUUUUUCAAGAUGCACUAUCUUUCCACUCUUUUCUCCUUUGAGAAACUCUUUCUCUAGGAAAACCCCGUUCCGAGCGACAAACACUUUGCCCUCUGACCGGUUGUAGAAAUAAUAUCCAAAAGUUUCCUUUGGAUAUCCCACGAAAAUGCACUUAUCUGACUUGGGUGUGAUCUUGUCCGACUGAAGUCGCUUGACAAACACUUCACAUCCCCAAAUCUUUAGAUAAGACAAACUGGGAACUUUUCCAGUCCACAUCUCAUAUGGUGUCUUAACUACGGAUUUAGAUGGUACCCUGUUAAGUGUGAAAGCUACUGUUUCUAGAGCAUAUCCCCAAAAUGACAACGGUAUGUCCGACUGGCUCAUCAUUGAUCGAACCAUGUCUAACAAAGUUCGAUUACGUCACUCGGAUAGACCGUUUCUCUGAGGUGUUCCAGGCGGCGUAAGUUGUGGAACAAUUCCGCAACUCUUUAGAUGAUUGCUAAACUCGUGGAUCAAAUACUCGCCUCCACGAUCAGAUCGUAAGGCCUUAAUUUUCUUGCCACGCUGAUUUUCAACUUCAUUCUGAAAUUCCUUUAACUUUUCACAGGUUUCAGACUUGUACCUCAUCAAGUAGAUAUAGCCAUAUCUACUAAAAUCAUCAGUGAAAGUUAUGAAGUAUUGGAAUCCUCCUCUAGCCGUCGUGCUCAUUGGUCCACAUACAUCGCUAUGUACGAGUUCCAACAAGUCUGCUGCUCUCUCAGGAAAACCUGUGAAAGGCAUCUUGGUCAUCUUGCCUAGCAAGCAAGCCUCACAUGUCUCGUAUGAUUCAAAAUCAAACGAAGUUAGAAGUCCAUCAGAAUGGAGCUUCUUCAUGCAUUUUUCACUUAUAUGCCCCAGAUGACAAUGCCACAAGUAGGUAGGACUCAAAUCAUUAGGUCAAGGCCUUUUAGCACUUACGUUACAGACAGGUGAACCAUCAAGAUUUAAAACAAACAAUCCAUUCACAAUGGGUGCAAAAGCCAUAAACAUAUCAUUCUUAGAGAUCACACAACCAUUGUUUUCACUCGCAAAUGAAUAACCAUCCUUCAUCAAGCAUGAAGGAGACAAAAUAUUUUGACUUAAACUAGGAACGAAAUAACAAUUAUUCAACUCCAUAAUAAAUCCUGACGGGAGGUGGAGUUGCAUUGUCCCGACGGUCAAAGCAGCAACUCUUGCAUUAUUGCCCAUGCGGAAAUCAACUUCUCCUCUUUCCACGCUUCUACUUCUUAUCAUUCCCUACAUCAAAUUGCAAAUAUGAGCAACCGAUCCGGUAUCAAAUACCCAAGAAUUAAUAAUUGUAUCAGCGAGAAAUAUGUUGUGUGUAACAUUAAUAACAAGCGUACCUGAGGUGGAAGUAGUCUUACUUCCGCCAUUCUUCAACGAAGCUAGGUACUGCUUGCAAUUUCUCUUCAGUGACCAAGUUCAUGACAGUAAAAGCACACUUUGUCUGGAGCAGGUCCAGGUCCAGCUUUAACCUUGGGCGCUGGGUUUGGCUUGGACGUUCCAGCCUUGCCCUUCUUCUUCCAAGAAUCGCCCUUCUUCUUAAGGCUAGGCUUGUUCUGUAUAGCCAUCACAUGGCUGCUACUAGCCCUUUUGUUGAUGUCAGCCUCUUCUAUUUUAAGCAUACCACACAGCUCAUUCAGACCCUUCUCCAUCCCAUGCAUAUGCUAGUUCGAGAUGAAGUUCCCAAAGCUAGGCGGAAGAGACGAAAGAAUGAAAUCAGUGGCCAACUCUUGGCAUAGUGGGAAGCCCAGCUUCUCCAACCGUUGAGUGUAACCAACCAUCUUGAUUACGUGUGGUCCUAUUGCUGUGCCUUCUGCUAGCUUGCUCUCCACAAAGGCCUUAGACACAUUGAACCUUUCAGUCCUGGCCUGUGUUUGGAACAUGUCUCUAAGCGCCAUGAUCAUAUUAUGCACCUCAUGGUUUGUUUCGAACUGCAUUUGCAGCUCGGGUUCCAUGCAAGCAAGCAUAAGGCAGCUUACUUCGAGGUUAGCAUCACAUGCUUUCUUGUAAGAAUUCUUAGCAGCAGCAGGUGCAUCAUCAGCAGGUUCUUCUGGUAGUGGGUUGUUUAGAACAACUUCCUUUUCCUUAGCCCUGAGAACAAUUCUCAGGUUACGGAUCCAAUCCGAGUAGUUUGUUCCAUUCAACAUAUCCUUCUCAAGGACCGAACGCAAAGCAAACGGUGUAGUGCUGCUAGGUGCCAUUUAAUCUACAACAAAAGUAAUGCAAAAGACACUAAGACAAACGUAUCCAUGAUAGAGCAAAUCACAUUAAACUAUUUUAACAAAAUCUACUCCCACUAAAAUCAAUAUCCCUCUACUGAUACUUAGUGAUUCAGGAUCCACAACUAACAAGUCUACUAGUGAGCUUUAGCAUCACCACUAGCAAACAAGGUAGAUCGGUAAGCAACUUCUUGCUAAUCAUAUCACAUACGACUCCUGUUGUUGGGUGACAUCUCCAUGGUGAGGGAUCGUUCUACCAAUUGUACAAGACAUGGGACAAUGCAAGUUUUAGUUGGGAGGGCAUACUAACUUAAACUUUGUGAGGGAUCGUUCUACUUCUAACAUCACAGCAUGCAGAAAGUAAAACAUAAACAGAAUACCAUUCACACAGUUGUGACACAGUAUGACCCAUUUUCUUAUGGUGAUCUCCAUCUCCACAGAACUUGUUCACCAUGGUGAUCUCCAUCUCCAUGUUUCAUGUGCGCCAUCCUUCUAGUGAUGAGUCCUCCAAGAACUAGAACAUGCUAUUACGCCUAAUAGCUAGUAAAGAAGCUAGUAAUGAAGAUUACAUAGUUGCUUGGAUCAUCACAGAUUGGUACGCAGACCAUUAAAUACAUUAAAGUGACAACACAUAUGGCUCCAGCCGUGUUGCCGUACACACGACACGCAGAUCACGAAUGAGUUACACACAUGCAUCAUAUACACAAAGGGCCAUACUGAUCACAAGAUACAUACAUCCUGCAAAACAGAGUUAGGCGUUCUAACGUUCCAAACUUCGAAGGCCCAAAACUCCAUAUUGCAAGCCAAAUUUGGAAAAUCUAAUUUUUUCGAAAACGCCAAAGCCGUUGAACUUCAUGUGUAACUUUUUCUAUAGAUCAAUUUUUAUAUAAAAUUCGCCCCGAUCCGAGAUCGUACCGAAAAGUUAUGGCUGAUUUACCGAAGCACACGCACACGGCAAAAUCCCGACCCGGUAGUAGAUCCAAUCUACUAUAGCACAUCUCAUGCGCCUGGCGUAUGAACCUAGAUUUCAUUUCGACCAAUCACAUUGAUCUUCGCUCGCUGCAACUGGUAUUACGUGUAUCACCGAUGGCGGAAAUCCGACCGGCAGGAGUAUGUCGUUACACAACCAUUGCAGCAAGAACACGAAACCAGGACAUAGAUCAAACUGAAAACUCGCAUAUCUCCAUAUGCACACAUCCGGAAUCCAAAACAAAGCAGCUAAGGCUCUGAUACCACUGUAGGGAUACGAGGUAGGCUACACUAGCGCAAAUCAAAAUUUCUACCGCGUAAUCCAGGAAAAUUGCCCACGUUAUUAGUUCAACAUCUCCAUGUUCAUGACUUGUGAAAUAUAGUCAUCAACUAAUACAUGUGCUAGUCUAAUAUUCAUGUGUGUCCUCACAUGAACUCCGACUAGGGACAACUUUAGAAUAACCAUACAAGUAAAGAGUUUCACAUACAAUUCACAUAAUUGCAAAUCAAUUCAAGGAGCCUUUAAUGGAUAUUCAAGGAACACAAUAUAAAUCAUGGAUACAAAUGGAAUAUCAUCAUCUCUAUGAUUGCCUCUAGGGCAUACCUCCAACAAAACUUGCGGACUAACCCCUAGGUCUAGGGUUUAAUCGUGUAAAGGUCCCGGGUUUUAACACUAAAGCCCCUGGUUCAUCUUUCCCAAAAACAAUUGGGUCCUCAGGCGCAAGGGCGGCGGCGGCGGGUAAAAUCCCGGCGAUGCGCCGGCGACCUUGGGACGGUGAGUGGCCGGGAGGGCUUACGGGCUCACCCUGGUCCGGUUUGAAGCGGUUGGGGGUGACGGGGAGGCUUGGCCGGGGCAGAACGGUGAAAGGCAGGAAGCUUUGGGUGGCGGCGAGGUCCGGCGGUGUUCCGGCUGUUGGGAUACGAGGUAGGCUACGCUAGCGCAAAACAAAAUUUUUCUACUACGUAAACCAGGAAAACUGCCGUAUAUGGAUCAUGGGAUUACCACUCGACGCACUGGUGCGGAAGAUGUAGAAUCGCGUCAGGGCAGCGAAGUCGACCAGCAUAGUCGGACACGUAGUCGAUCACGUCGACGUCAAGUAGCUCCUAAGCAGCUCGUCCACAUGCAGCAAGGUCGUCCUCGUGCCGCGGCUCGUCGGCAGCUCGUCGUCGGCUCGUCGUGGCUCAUCGGCGGCUCGUCGUGGCUCAUCGGCGGCUCGUUGUGGCUCGUCCAAGUGCUGUAGGUGCAACACCUCCAAGAUAUCUACACGUGCAGGGAGGAAGUGUCGUAAGCUGGACUGCUAGGUCCGCGAGUUGCAACAAGGUGAGGGCGUGGGAGGCACGGCAGAUGUGUUUUCGACCAAAGGAUGAAACCCUAGGGCACCCCACCCCUCUAUUUAUAGAGGUUCCUGACAGGUCUCUUGGUUCGAGGCCCAUUAGUACUUCUAAACCUAAUCCAGCUCGGAUCAUAUCCAAAUUGGGCUUCCAGCCCCUUAAGUGUGUGACCCUAUGGGUUCGGAUACAUGUAGACAUGGCCCGAGUACUCCUACUCGACCCAAUAGUCGGUAGAAGCCUCUAGCAAGACGUGCCAACUCCUAUACGAACACGAAGAUCAUAUCAGAUGAAUCGUUACAACAUCAUGUACAUGCUAUUCCCUUUGCCUCGCGAUAUUUGGUCUAGCUUCAAGCCGACCGCUCUUUCUCGAUCCUGUGAUUCGGAAUCCCUUUGUAGGUUAACUCUUAACCAUAUGUAGCAUGGCCAUGCAUUUCCGGAUCCGAUCACUCGAGGGGCCCAGAGAUAUCACUCUCAAUAAGAGAGGGGCAAAUCCCAUCUUGAUUGACCAUGCCUCACAGCAUGCUUCUUGACAAACCCAAAAGCUACCUUUUUAAGUACCCUAUUACAAUGUAGCGUUUGAUAGCCCGUAAGUAAGUCGAUCCACAUCUUGAGUACAUGCGACAAUCUGAGGUCUAAGGACAAAGUGUACAUAUUGUGUAAAGAGAGAACUACAUCUCAUGUUGGAUCAGUCCUAGCACAGGUCUCUACAUAUGCCUACAUUAUUAGUUUGACAUCUCCAUGUUCAUGACUUGUGAAACAUAGUCAUCAACUAAUACAUGUACUAGUCUAAUAUUCAUGUGUGUCCACACAUUAACUCCAACUAGGGACAACUUUUAGAAUAACCAUACAAGUAAAGAGUUCCACAUACAAUUCACAUAAUUGCAGAUUAAUUCAAGUAGCAUUUAAUGAAUAUUCAAUGAACACAAUAUACAAAUCAUGGAUACAAUCAGAUACCAUCAUCUCUAUGAUUGCCUCUAGGGCAUACCUCCAACACCGGUGACGGUGGUGCUUCUCGCGGGCAACAAGCAAGCUCUAGAGCUGCGCGAGAGGUUGGUGAAGCGGCUGGUGGUGUUGGCAAGGUGCGGGGUCGGGCGGAAGGGGGAGCUCCACGGAGAGCUCAGGCGGUGGCACGGGGAGUGGAAACAGGGAAGGCGCGGCGAGGUUCGGGCGAGCGGGGAAGGGGGCACCGGCGGUGCUGGGUUCCUAUUUAUAGGGCCAGGGCAGAGUGGCGAAUGAGGUAGGGUUGUGGCUCUGGCAGGCGAGACUAGAGGGAAGCCGAGCGUUGCUGUGGUCAUUAAUGGCGACAGCGCCAUAGGUGGACAGGCGAAAGGGAAGGAGCACGACAGGCGAGGUGACAUUGUGAGCGACGCGAAGCAAGCGUGCGUGGGGCAAGCGGCUCUACUGGGGCACGCUACUGGCGAGGCGGGGGAGGAGCUGUCAUGGCCUACGCGGUGGUUGGUGGAGGCGGCAGCAUUGCGGGGCGUGCGCAUGGGCAGCAUGACCGGGGUUUGACGGGAGGGCUGGAAGGCAUUGGGGCGCGCGGUCGGAGAUCCGGGUGGGGCGGAUGCGCGUGCGAGCAGAGGCGGCACUGGCGCGGCAGCAGCCUGCUUCGGCUGCGGAGUGGCCGGGGCAGCGGCGGAGCUACGGGGAGCGCGCCUGGCACGGUUGGCGAGGCCUCGGGUGAGAUGAGAUGGGGCGGAGGGGCUGCAGGGCGUCACUGCUCGCGAGUGGGGGAACGGGCACGUCGAUCCAUCUUAUUGCGACCGGCGACUGGGCAAGGCGGCGCUUGCCGGUGAGGCCACGCCACGCGGUGGCGGCGCUCGGGAGCGCGAUGCAUGCGCGCUCGGGCGCGCUCUGGCCGACGGAUGCGCGGGAUCUUUUGCCAGGCCCGUCUUCGAGCCUCUUGAUCUGCCGAUUUUCAAACCGCACCACGUUGACCCCCUUUACAGAAGUUGUAGUACAUAGACCAAAGUCCAACUUUUGUAAUUUGACCGAGUUCAAAAUCGUGGUGAAUUUGGAGAUUCAAAACUUCAAAGUUUGGAGGAACACUGGUUUUCCGGACUUUGGCGAAAAACGGCAGCUUUGACUGGUUUUCAGGGUUCUGGGCUGACUUGAGCUACACUUUUGGAAAGCUUCGGAGGUGAAUUGGACCAAGGUCCAAUUAACAAAGUUGUUGUAGAAACUCAGUUCUCAAACUCUUAUAAAGGGAGUUUCCAUUGUUCUAUUCAACUUUUAAGAGAUAAAGCCACCCUAAAGUGCCAGGUUGGGCUGAUCUCCAGACUUAGCCGGAAUUGCUAAAGGAGGCUGAGUUGACCAAACUAACUGACUUUGACCUAGAUUUCGAAGGUCUUUGGGGUAGAUUUGAAACUUUCUCCUUAAAGCAAAGUUGUUAAGGUCCCGAAGCUCUAAAACUUUGGUAUAGGUCUCAGCUUAAGUUCAUAUUAGAAAUUUCGAAAUAUAGAGCCCCAAAGUUGGGACCUUGCUUGUUUUAAAACAAAACAACAUAGAUUGGUAUUUCGGGUUUUUGGAGGGCUUCUGCUCAGAUCCAAGCAAGACACCAAAAAUAAAAAUUGUUAGGAAAAGUGAGUUCUACAACUCUUAGUUGGACAGAUUUUUAAGUUCUUAAGCAAAAAUUGGAGCUACGGUUUGGGAAGCAUUUUAACCUUGUGAGGGGCAAAAGGGUACUUUCACUUGCCUUCUUGUUGCCAAAGCUCUUCUUUAAGCACUAAUGACUCGUUUUAAGAUUAAAACAUAGCUUAUUUAAUCUAGGUUGUUACAGACAUGUAGUAGAAAACAAAAGCAUAGUUCCUAGUUUUCCUUGUAAAGUCUUCCAAAAAUGACUAAUAAAUUUAGCAUCACGAUCAGAAACAACUGUGUUGGGCAUACCAUGCAAAUGAAUAAUUUCUCGAAAGAACAAAUUAGCAAUAAGAGUAGCAUCAUCAGUUUUAUGAUAUGGUAUAAAAUAUGCCAUUAUAGAAAAUCUAUCAACAACCACAAACACACUAUCACAUCCCUUCCUAGUCCUUAGCAAUCCCAACACAAAAUGCAUAGAAAUAUCUUCCCAAGGAGCGCUAGGAACAGGUAGAGGCAAAUACAAAUAGUGUCGAUUUAACCGUGACUUAGCCUUUUGACAUGUCAUGCAACGAGCAACAAAUCUCUCCACAUCUCUUCUCAUCUUUGGUCAAAAGAAAUGACCAGCAAGUAUGUCCUUCGUUUUCUUGACUCCAAAAUACCCCAUCAAGCCACCUCCAUGUGGUUCCUGCAGCAACAACAAACGAACGGAGCUAGCUGGAAUGAAUAGCUUAUUAGCUCUAAAAUCAAACCCAUCACUAACAAAGAAUUUGUUCCAUCUUUUCCCAUCUUUACAAUGCACCAGCACAUCUUUAAAAUUAGCAUCAUGAACAUAUAGUUCUUUAAUUGUUUCUAAUCCAGAGAUUUUAUAAUCAAGUUGAUUCAGCAAGGUAUAUCUCCUAGACAAAGCAUCAGCAAUAAUACUCUCUUUUCCUUUCUUGUGCUUAAUAACAUAAGGAGAAGAUUCAAUAAAUUCAACCCACUUAGCAUGUCUACAGUUCAAUUUUUCUUAACUACGAAUAUGCUUCAAAAAUUCAUGAUCAGAAUGAAUAACAAAUUCUUUGGGCCACAAGUAAUGCCGCCAUGUUUCUAAUGUGUGAACUAGAGCAUACAAUUCUUUAUCAUAAGUAGAAUAAUUCAGAAUAGGCCCACUCAAUUUUUCACUAAAAUACGCAACAGGUUUACCCUCUUGUAACAAAACACCACCCAAUCUAAUUCCACUAGCAUCACAUUCAAGCUCAAAAGUCUUAUUAAAAUCAAAAAGUUGGAGGAGGGGUGCAUGUGUCAACUUAUCUUUCAGCAUGUUGAAGGAGUUCUCUUGUACUUUGCCCCAACUAAAAGGCACUCCCUUCUUCGUAAGUCAUUCAAAGGUGCAGCAAUGGUGCUGAAGUCCUUCACAAAACAGCGAUAGAAACCAGCAAGUACUAGGAAACUCCGCACCUAUGUAGUAGUCUUUGGUACAGGCCAUCCCUGUAUAGCAUCUACCUUGGCUUGAUCAACCUCAAGUCACUGUGGACUCACAACAUUGGUAAGAAAAGGUACACAAUCGGUGCAAAAGGUGAAAUUCUCAAGGUUACCAAAUAAAUGUGCAUCUCGUAAAGCAUUAAAAACAACACGUAAGUGAUCAAGAUGUUCAUCCAUAGAUUUGUUGUAAAUCAAUAUAUCAUCAAAAUAGACUCCAACAAAUUUUCUAAUGAAAGUACGCAAAACCUUAUUCAUUAAUCUCAUGAAAUUAUUAGGUGCAUUAGUUAACCCAAAAAGCAUGACUAACCAGUCAUAUAAACCAAAUUUAGUUUUGAAAGCAGUUUUCCAUUCAUCUCCCAAUUUUAUACGAAUUUGGUGGUACCUACUACGCAAAUCAACUUUGAAAAAACAAAACAACACCACUCAAUUCAUCAAGCAUAUCAUCCAAACGUGGAAUAGGGUGUCGAUAUCGAAUGGUGAUAUUAUUAAUAGCUCUACAAUCAACACAUACGCCAUGUUCCAUCUUUCUUAGGCACUAAAAUAACCGGAACAAUACAAGGGCUAAGAGAGUCAUGUACAUAACUUUUGUCAAGUAGUUCUUUCACUUGUCGCUGAAUUUUUUUCAUUUCUUCCGAAUUUGUCCUGUAUGGUGCACGGUUGGCAAAGAUGCACCAGGAAUAAGAUCAAUUUGGUGCUCAAUACCUCGUAUUGGUGGCAGCCCCACUGGUAUCUCACUUGGAAAAAUAUCAGAAUACUCCUACAAAAUGUUAGCAACAUCAAGGGGCAAAGAAUGUUGCAUAUCAUGAAUUGAAAUUAAAGCAUCCUUUCACACCAAAGCAUAGGCAACAGAAGUGGAAGCAACCAGUAAUAUCAGAUUUAGUAGCAAGCAAGUAAUGUCCUUUCAAUCUUAUCUCAUCUUUCUUACUACUAACAGAUUUGGCAUUUUUAUCGCUCUCAAUUUUAAUUUUUGUAGCUUUAGCAACAUCAUCACGCACAAUAGCUUCAGGAGACAUAGGAACCAAAAUAAUUUUCUUAUCAUGGUGUAUGAUGGAAUAUUGAUUUGAUCUACCAUGAUGCAUACAAUUCGUAUCAAAUUGCCAUGGUCUACCUAACAGAAUAUUUCAAGCUUCCAUAGGCACAACAUCAUAUUCAACAACAUCAUGAUAUGAUCCAAUAGCAAAAUUAAUUCGCACCAGUCUAGUUUCCUUAACCUUACCACUUUUAGUACCCUAUCUCAGUUGUUACAACUUAUUUAACAGAUCACGUGCAUAGUAAGAAGGAACAAAUCUAGCCCGCAUGACCUAUUUCAAAAGCAUCCCAAGUUUGUGGCAUGUUAUUAUGAUUUUUCUUGGCAUCUUCUAUCAACCAAAUAGAAGCAAAAGCAGUAAACUAACUAGUAGCAGCCCUAACACAUGUAUUUUAAGGAAAUUCAUGACAUGCAAACUUUUGAUCAACAAUAAUUUCCCAAGCAAUGUAUGCAUUAGGAUCAUAUUUACCAUCAAAAGGAGGUAUCUUAAAUUUUAUCUUACUAAAAGCAUCAUCAUUAUUAUGUACCUCGCGUCGUCGAUAACCACCCAUACCUCUACGAUUAUUACAUAGCUGUCGGCGAUCAUGAGCGUCUUGGUCAUCUUAUUCAGUAUCAGCAUCCCAAUUGUUCUGGACACGCUCAUCCUUCUUGUUAUCUCCAUCAUGCCCAUUAGUAGUUUUGGCAUGCAUCUCAUCAAAGCACCUCAAAAUAGUAGCAAGACUUUUGUCAAUACGAGCAACCGAUGUCUCCAACCUUGUAAGCUUUGUGUUGGUGGCAAGCUGUGUGGCCUCCAACUACCCAGUCUUGUCAUUCGUCACCUGCAAAUCAUCAUAAAGCCCUUCUGUGUACAGCUUCACCUGUCUUUCAAAAUGUUGUAUGAUGCUCUUGGUGCGAGGCGAAUGUUGCAUACUGCACCAAUCUUGGAACCUAUCAUGGUUAAAAGAAUAGUGGAAACAAGAAAACAGGUGAUGAAAUAAAAGCCCUACAGCUAUUAGGAUGUAGCUACUGCAAGGCACUCACUCUCAACCUGUUUUACAAGCUCUUACCAAUUCUUACCUUGCUCAACAAGAGGGGACAGCAACCAACAAGUCUGCAACCGUGGAACGAAGUGUAUCGAUACUGCAGCAACAAAACCUGUCAAGCUGUAGUCAAAAUAUGUGGAGCUGUAGGUGGGCUGAAGCAAGGAAGUACUAGCACCACGUUAGUUACUAAAGCAAUCUGAAUAAUUGUUGAACGGUGGUACUGUGCUAGUCCUAGCCUAGACCGUGCUAGAGGUGCGAGCCUGGACACAAAAGAAAUCACAAUACACCAUCGGGAAACAAUAGAGAAGCACAAUGAAAACCCCUUUUCUUCCUAUUUUCUUUCAUUCUUUUCUUUUUCUUUCUUUUCUAUUUUUUUCCUAUUUUUUCAGGGGAUCCUCAAAACUGAUUAUAUAAACAAAAAGACUUCACAAGAGUCACACACCACACAAGCUUUCUCUCUCUCUCUCUCUCUCUCUCUCUCUCUCUCUCUCGCGCGCGCGCGCGCUGGAGUAAGCCGAGCCAAAAUGUAUAUGCACAAUGUGGAGGAGUCGAGUAUAGGUAUGGACUGUGCUGCCUUUCUGGAACACUUCAAUAUAUGUAGCACAAGUGCAAACAACAACAAUAUUUGGUAACUUGGCGCAGCAACCAAUUCCAGCUCAAAACCGAUUCCAACUCGGUCUUUAACAAGAUUAGGACUGCUAAUAUGGAUAUGAAGAACUGCUGUGUGAUUAAUAUGGAUAUGAAGAACAGCAGGCAACACGGCCAAACAACCAACUCGUACUUGAGCUGCUAACUGAUUCCAACUCAGUCUUUAACAAGAUCAGGACUCGAUCUCAACCAACCCUAGCACAAGGACGUGCACGGUUAGCCGAGUCCACGUCGGACUUGAACUCCAAACUGCACUCAGAUUCGGCCAACAGAGAAAUCAAAAGGUAGCACAUGGCUGUGACUAGAACGUGAUAAGAACUCGAAACUCUAAAGGACUAAAACUAAGACCAGCAACUUGACACAACCGAUGCAACCGAAAACUCAACAAGCCCUAACUAAGCAGUGCUAGCAAAGGCUCAAAGGGUUUAUAAGAUUGCAGGUAAACUAAUCUAUUGUUUUUUUUGCUUUUUCUGGACUAUAGGAAAAUGAAAACAGCGAAGGAUUGGAAGUCUCUCACUGAUAAACCUUGCUCUGAUUACUAGCUGAUAGGUACCCGCUAGGGUUGAUUCCCGAUCUUUCGAUGAGAGGACGUGGGAUAGUUCGAUUGGUGGAUGUCCUCAUCAUGUCCCUCCCUGUCAACUGAAGAAAAAGAAACAAAAUUUGCAGAGAAAGACGAUGUUUGUGAUUAGAGUUGCAAACACGGUUCCAUGUGUAUAGUUACUUAUUUUCAUUGUGUAACAGCUCUAAUCUUUAUUAAGAUAAGCAUGCCAUCAUAUGCAUCAUUAAGCAUUAAUCAAGGUUUAGUUUAUAUUUAAAACUUCCUUGUUGUGGCCUCAAUUUUUGGCCUACAGAUGGUCCGCCCUUGGUGACCGAAUAGUCUGCCAUUCAACCACAUCGCCAACCAAGCCUCUGCACAACUUUUCAACAUGUGCUAAUUUUGUACUGUAGAUGAUCCACCCCUGAGGUGCGGAUGGUCCGCCAUUCAAACUCAAAAACCAUAUCGAAUUUGUCUAGUUUUGCCAAAAGGAUCCGCAUUUGACCGGCGGACAGUCCGCCCAACGGUGCCACCGUUAAGUUGUUGCAAGUGAACUGCAACCGGGGGCUGUUUUUGGGUACUUCUUCCCCAUGGACGGAGGUGCAGUGGAAAGGGAAUAGAUGGCCAUGGCUUUAGGAAGGGCGCUAUUGGUAUAUAGUGUUAACCUUCUUAUUUUGAGUUGUAUCGUAUGAUGAGCGUGAUGAUAGAACCUUCCGCUGCAAACUCUAUGAACUUGUUAUAUAUGUGAACUUGAACCUCUUUAUGUAAUGUGAUGGACUAUGUAUGGAUUCCUGUAUGCUGAUGAUGUUAUAUUGUUGUGCUUGUGAGGUGUGUAUAAAUCUUUGGCAAUGCUCAUGACAAAUCUCAAGGAUGAUUGGAGUUAUUCUUAUUUAGUUGAGUUGAUCAAAAGAUGAUGACUUGAUUAAAUGGGUGUAACUUGCAGGUUCCUCACACAUUGUGUCAUUAAUUGUUUCUUCUCUAUAUAGUUACUUGUGAAUUGUGAUAGAAGACAUGCAAUGUCAACUGGAGUGAAUCUUUUGGUGGAUGCAUGACUGUGAAAGGGUUGCUAGAUAUUGGCAUGUAUAUAAAAAAAUACUCUGAUGUGUAGAGGGAAUAAUAGAUAGUUUGUAUGAUGCUCCUCUCUUUGCUACAAUAAUAUGAUCAAAAUGUUUUUUUACUUGUAAGCAUAUUUUGAAAAUUUUACUUGAUCUUGAGGAAUAUAUAGGCAAUGCAUUGUGAAGGGACCGUGACACCCUAAGAGGGGGAUGAAUUGGGUGUUCUUAAAAUCUAAGGCUCCAAGCACAUAUAAAAACCUAUUUCAAUUUCGAUCUAGAUGUGCACUAGGUUUUUCUAUGUGUUUCUAUCUCUACCGUAAAAGAGUUUUGCACCCUAAGUUACAAUCCUAUGAACUACACAUGGAAAUUUUAGGAAAGGUAAACGUGGAAAGUAAGUGCAAUAAGAAAUGCGGAAGGUAAAUGAGGUAGAGAAGGCAAACUCCCGGCGUGGCGACAUGGUGAUUUUUACCGAGGUAUCAUAAAGCAAAGUUUUCCACUAGUCCUCGUUGUUGGAGCCCCUCUCAAAGGGAAUGUCCGCACAAGGGCAUAAACUCCCCGAUCAAGUAACUUCAUAGGAUAGCCGGUGGGCCUUCCCCACACGCAAGUGGGUUGCCACCUAGCCUCUCCCGGAUGCUCCUUGCCUUUCUUCACUUGGUAGAGCUUCGGCGAAAUGCCGAGAGCCUCUCCUCCCUCUCACAAGCACCGGCGCCCACUCCACAAAUGCAGUUGGAGGGUCUCGCAAGCUUACAAGCCCCAGAUUUACAACUCUUGGUGCGCGCAAGCCCCAAAACAAAGGAGGUGUGCAAACCUCACCUAACUCUAGGUUAAACCCUAAAGCAAUGCGCUAAAAGGCCUAAACUAGCACUAACCAAGACCUAAGUCUUAUGCUAAUUGCCUUAAUCUUCUCUUUAGCACUUUGGUGGAUAGAGCACUUGUGUGUAUGUGAGAACCAAGCCUAUAGCUUCUCCAAGCUCUAACACCCCUCAAAUACUUGGAUAAUGGAAUAUAUAUAGCCCCAACUCCAAGAACUAGCCAUUACAUAGCCAUUGUAACUUUCUGCGUACCACCGACUCAUUCAAUGCCUUGAUCAAUGUACCCACCGUAUGAAUCGGUAAGGCCCAAAUUAUACUCCAAAACUUACAGAGCUGAUUUUGAGCUGAUGCUGAGCCGAGCCGACAAUCACCGACUGAUUCGGUGAUGGUUACUGUAGCCACCAUAUGAAUCGGUGGUAACAUACAUGCUUGAUCCUGCCACUGUUCUGUGGUCACUGACUGAAUCGGUGAUGGUCAUUGUUCCCAUAGAAUGGUAACAGUGCACGCUUGACCCUAGCAUUGUCCAGUGGUCACCAACUGAAUCGGUGAUGGUCACUAUUCCCAUCGAAUGACUCGAUGGUAACAGUGCACUGUAACACCCUGUCCUCCAAAGCUGCACCGCCCAGGCCUUCUAAGGGGUGGGCACACUUACACAUAACAAUCUACUUACACUUUUGUCCUUACUUCGUGUAAAAGGGUUAACCUGAAGGUGUUAUGGCUAGAAGACAGAGGCUUAUAAGUUGGCCCACCCUUGCUCAACUAGCAAGGUGGUACUAAACAGGCGCACUUGUGCUGAUGGACCACUACUGGCCAACCAAAUUGGGUCGGGCAUCACAUACACCCCCCUCAAAGAACCCGACGUCCUCGUCGGUCCAACUCACCUACACUUGGGCACAUGUCUAGGAAUGUUCCCUCUUAGCGCAUGACCGUACGUCUAGUGCCGGCACCAUAUGCCAUGCCAUGUGUCCCAUCCAGAGCCCACACGCGUCAUGCGCCAUAUGCCCGCACACUGAUCCUUACGCGCAACCAUGAGGGUCGGCUUUAAUACCACUUGUAACACCCCGUCCUCCAAAGAUGCACUGUCCAGCCCUUCCGAGGGGCGGGCACGUGUACACAUAGCACCAUACUUACACUUUCGUUCUUGCUUCGUGUAAAAGAAUUAACCCAAAGGUGUUAUGGAUGGAAGACAAAGGCUUAAAAUUGGCUCCACCCUUACUCAACUACCAAGGUGGUACUAACACAUGCACACCUAUGCUCAUGGGCCACUACUGGGCCAACCAAAUUGGGCCGAGCGUCACAUGCCUGUGGUCAUCGACUGAAUCGGUGACACUUCCUGUUCCCAGAGUAUGAGUCGGUGGAAUGUGUCGGUGCACAUUUCCAGCAGGAUUCGCUUCAAAUCUUCAUGUGUCCUUGUCCCGAUUUCAUUACCAUCAUUUGUACUAUCAUUUGGAUGCCAUAGAAUUCUUCUAAGUCUUUAUUUUUCUUCUCAUUUUGAUGGUUUUGUAAAUUAUCCUUGGGACUGUUGGGAUACGAGGUAGGCUACACUAGCGCAAAUCAAAAUUUCUACCGCGUAUAACCAGUAAGAACUGCCGUAUAAGGAUCACGGGAUUACCACUCAACGCACUACUGGUGCGGAAGAUGUAGAUAUGCGUCGGUGCAGUGAAGACGAUCACAUAGUCGUACGUAGUCGAUCACGUCCAGCAGCUCCUCAACAGCUCGUCCACGUGCAGCAAGAUCACCUCCGGUACCGCGGCUCGUCGUCGGCUCGUCGUGGCUCGUCGGCGGCUCCUCGGUGGCUCGUCCAAGUGCUGCAGGCGCAACACCUCCAAGGUAUCCACACGUGCGGGAAGGAAGCGUCGCAAGCCGGACUGCUAGAUCCGCGAGUUGCAACAGGCGAGGGCGUGGGAGGCGCGGCAGGUGUGUUUCGCCAAAAGGUGUAAACCCUAGGGCGCCCCCACCCCUCUAUUUAUAGAGGUUCCUGAUGGGCCUCUAGAUCCGAGGCCCAUUAGUACUCCUAAACCUAAUCCAACUCGGAUCAGAUCCGAAUUGGGCUUCCAGCCCCUUAAGUGUGUGACCCUAUGGGUUCGGAUACGUAUAGACAUGGCCCGAGUACUCCUACUCGGCCCAAUAGUCGGUAGCGGCCUCUAGCAAGAUGUGCCAACUCCUAUACGCACACGAAGAUCAUAUCAGACGAACCAUCACAACAUAAUAUACAUGCUAUUCCCUUUGCCUCACGAUAUUUGGUCUAGCUUCAAGCCGACCGCUCUUUCUCGAUCCUGUGAUUCGGAAUCCCUUUGUAGGUUAACUCUUAACCGUACGUAGCAUGGCCAUGCAUUUUCGGAUCCGAUCACUCGAGGGGCCCAGAGAUAUCACUCUCAAUCAGAGAGGGGCAAAUCCCAUCUUGAUUGACCAUGUCUCAUAGCAUGCUUCUUGACAAACCCGAAAGCUACCUUUAUAACUACCCUGUUACGGCGUAGCGUUUGAUAGCCCCUAAGUAGGUCGAUCCACAUCUAGAAUACAUGCGACAAUCUCAGGUCUAAGGACAAAGCGUAUAUGUUGUUUAAAGAGAGAACUACUUCUCGUGUUGGGUCAGUCCUAACACAUGUCUCCACAUGUGUCCACAUUAUUAGUUCAACAUCUCCAUGUCCAUGACUUGUGAAACAUAGUCAUCAACUAAUACAUGUGCUAGUCUAAUAUUCAUGUGUGUCCUCACAUGAACUCCGACUAGGGACAACUUUAGAAUAACCAUACAAGUAAAGAGUUUCACAUACAAUUCACAUAAUUGCAAAUUAAUUCAAGUAGCCUUUAAUGGAUAUUCAAUGAACACAAUAUACAAAUCAUGGAUACAAAUGGAAUAUCAUCAUCUAUAUGAUUGCCUCUAGGGCAUACCUCCAACAGUCUCCCACUUGCACUAGAGUCAAUCUAGAAGGUACCUAAUACCCAUAGCUCUUACAUGCGCAUCAUGCUUAGCCUGCGGGAGUGGUUUUGUCAACGGAUCAGAAAUGUUCAGAUCCGUGUGUAUUUUGCAUAUCUUGAUCUCACCCCGGUUAACGAAGUCUCGAAUGAGAUGAAAUCGCCGCAUUACGUGUUUGUUCUUCUGGUGGUUCCUUGGCUCCUUUGCUUGCGCAAUUGCCCCAUUGUUAUCACAGUAGAGAUUCAAUGGGCUGGACGCAUUCGGGAACACACCAAGCUCAAUGAGGAAAUUCCUUAUCCAAACACCUUCCUUCGCGGCUUCCGAAGCCGCGAUGUACUCGGCUUCUGUCGUAGAAUCGGCCACCGUCUCCUGCUUGGAACUCUUCCAACUAACAGCACCACCAUUUAGCGUGAACACAAAUCCUGAUUGUGACUUUGAAUCAUCUCUGUCGGUUUGGAAACUAGCAUCGGUGUAACCUGUUACAACGAGCUCCUCCUGACCUCCAUAGACGAGGAACAUAUCUUUAGUCCUUCUCAAGUACUUAAGAAUGUUUUUCACCGCUGUCCAGUGACUCUCACCUGGAUCAGAUUGGUGUCUGCUUGUCAUACUUAGCGCAUAUGAAACAUCUGGGCGAGUACUUAUCAUUGCAUACAUGAUAGAUCCAAUAGCCGAGGCAUAUGGCACUCUACUCAUGCGAUCCCGCUCAUCAGCAGUCGAAGGACACUGAGUCUUGCUGAGAUGUAUGCCAUGUGACAUAGGCAAGAACCCUUUCUUUGCCUCUUCCAUGCUGAACCGCUUCAACACUUUGUCAAUAUAAGUAUCUUGGCUCAGACCUAUAAGCCUUCUCGAUCUAUCUCUAUAGAUCUUAAUCCCCAGAAUAUAUGCCGCUUCCCCUAAGUCCUUCAUCGAAAAACUAUUUUUCAGUGAAGUCUUUACGGACUCAAGCAUAGGAAUGUUAUUUCCAAUCAGUAAUAUGUCAUCCACAUAUAAGAUUAGAAAUACUACAGAGCUCCCACUAACCUUCUUGUAAACACAAGACUCUUCUUCGUUCUUGGUGAAGUCAAACCCUUUGACCACUUCAUCAAAACGAAUGUUCCAACUCCUAGAUGCUUGCUUCAAUCCAUAAAUGGAUCUCUGAAGCUUGCAUACCUUUCCAGCAUUUUUCGGAUCGACAAAACCCUCGGGCUGUAUCAUAUACACGUCCUCAGCUAGGUUUCCAUUCAGGAAAGCUGUCUUGACAUCCAUCUGCCAUAUCUCAUAAUCGAAAUAUGCAGCUAUAGCUAGAAUAAUCCGAAUGGACUUAAGCAUCACUACGGGCGAGAAGGUCUCGUCGUAGUCAACUCCUUGAACUUGUCGAAAACCUUUUGCGACAAGUCGUGCUUUAUAGAUGUGAACAUUUCCAUCCAUGUCCUUUUUCUUCUUAUAGAUCCACUUGCACUCUAUGGCUUUAACACCAUCAGGCGGGUCAACCAAGUUCCAAACUUGAUUGUCUCCCAUGGACUCUAUUUCGGAUUGCAUGGCACUCUGCCAUUUUUCGGAGUCUGGGUCCAUCAUUGCUUCUGCAUAUGUCGCAGGCUCAUCAUUGUCCAAUAAUAAUAUUUCUCGCAUUUUGCGGAGCCUUGCUGACCUUCGUGGUUGUGGCGGUGCUUCUCUUGCCAUGGGUAUCUCAACUUGUUCUGCUACGUUAGCAUCACUCAUUGAUUCUUGCCCGAUUGGCUCAUCUUGAACUUCUUCAAGAUGCACUGUCUUUCCACUCUUUUCUCCUUUGAGAAACUCUUUCUCUAGGAAAACCCCGUUCCGAGCGACAAACACUUUGCCUUCUGAUUGGUUGUAGAAAUAAUAUCCCAAAGUUUCCUUUGGAUAUCCCACGAAAAUGCACUUAUCCGACUUGGGUGUGAUCUUGUCCGACUGAAAUCGCUUGACAAACACUUCACAUCCCCAAAUCUUUAGAAAAGACAAACUAGGAACCUUUCCAGUCCAUAUCUCAUAUGGUGUCUUAACUACGGAUUUAGAUGGUACCCUAUUAAGUGUGAAAGCUGCUGUUUCUAGAGCGUAUCCCCAAAAUGACAACGGUAGGUCCGACUGGCUCAUCAUUGAUCGAACCAUGUCUAACAAAGUUCGAUUACGUCGCUCGGAUAUACCGUUUCUCUGAGGUGUUCCAGGCGGCGUAAGUUGUGGAACAAUUCCGCAACUCUUUAGAUGAUUGCUAAACUCGUGGCUCAAAUACUCGCCUCCACGAUCAGAUCGUAAGGCCUUAAUUUUCUUGCCACGCUGAUUUUCAACCUCAUUCUGAAAUUCCUUGAACUUUUCAAAGGUUUCAGACUUGUGCCUCAUCAAGUAGACAUAGCCAUAUCUACAAAAAUCAUCAGUGAAAGUUAUGAAGUAUUGGAAUCCUCCUCUAGCCGUCGUGCUCAUUGGUCCGCAUACAUCACUAUGUACGAGUUCCAACAAGUCUACUGCUCUCUCAGGAAAUCCUGUGAAAGGCGUCUUGGUCAUCUUGCCUAGCAAGCAAGCCUCGCAUGUCUCGUAUGAUUCAAAAUCAAACGAAGUUAGAAGUCCAUCAGAAUGGAGCUUCUUCAUGCGCUUUUCACUUAUAUGACCCAAACGACAAUGCCACAAGUAGGUAGGACUCAAAUCAUUAGGCCGAGGCCUUUUAGCACUUAUAUUACAGACAGGUGAACCAUCAAUAUUUAAAACAAACAAUCCAUUCACAAUGGGUGCAAAAGCCAUAAACAUAUUAUUCUUAGAGAUCACACAACCAUUGUUUUCACUCGCAAAUGAAUAACCAUCCUUCAUCAAGCAUGAAGGAGAUAAAAUAUUUCGACUUAAACUAGGAACAAAAUAACAAUUAUUCAACUCCAUAAUAAAUCCUGACGGGAGGUGGAGUUCAUCGUCCUGACGGUCAAAGCAGCAACUCUUGCAUUAUUGCCCACGCGGAAAUCAACUUCUCCUCUUUCCACGCUUCUACUUCUUAUCAUUCCCUGCAUCGAAUUGCAAAUAUGAGCAACCGAUCCGGUAUCAAAUACCCAAGAAUUAAUAAUUGUAUCAGCGAGAAAUAUGUUGUCUAUAACAUUAACAACAAACGUACCUGAGGUAGAAGUACUCUUACUUCCGCCGUUCUUCAACGAAGCUAGGUACUGCUUGCAGUUUCUCUUCCAGUGACCAAGUUCAUGACAGUAAAAGCACUCUUUAUCUGGAGCAGGUCCAGCUUUAGCCUUGGGCGCUGGGUCUGGCUUGGACACUCCAGCCUUGUCCUUCUUCUUCCAAGAAUUGCCCUUCUUCUUAAAGGUAGGCUUGUUCUGUACAGCCAUCACAUGGCUGGUACUAGCGCUUUUCUUAAUGUCUACCUCUGCUAUCUUGAGCAUACCACACAGUUCAUUCAGACCCUUCUCCGUCCCAUGCAUAUGGUAGUUCGAGAUGAAGUUCCCAUAGCUAGGCGGAAGAGAUGAAAGAAUGAAGUCAAUGGCCAACUCUUUGUCCAUUGGGAAGCCCAGCUUCUCCAAUCGCUGAGUGUAACCAACCAUCUUGAUUACAUGUGGUCCUACUGCUGCGCCUUCUGCUAACUUGCACUCCAGAAAGGCUUUGGACACAUUGAACCUUUCGGUCCUAGCCUGUGUCUGGAACAUGUCCUUGAGCACCACGAUCAUAUCGUGUGCCUCAUGAUUUGUCUCGAACUGCAUCUGCAGCUCGGGCUCCAUGCAAGCAAGCAUAAGGCAGCUUACCUCAAGAUUAGCAUCAAAUGCCUUCUUGUAAGCAGCCUUAACGGCAGCAGAUGCAUCAUCAGCAGGUACUGGUGGUAGUGGGGUGUCUAGAACAUCUUCCUUUUUCUCAGCCCUGAGAACAAUUCUCAGGUUACGGAUCCAAUCCGAGUAGUUUGUUCCAUUCAACUUGUCCUUCUCAAGGACCGAACGCAAAGCAAACGAUGCGGUGGUGUUGCUAGGUGUCAUUUAAUCUACAACAAAAGUAAUGCAAAAUACACUAAGACAAACGUAUCCAUGAUAGAGCAAAUUACAUUAAACUAUUUUAACAGAAUCUACUCCCACUAAAAUCAAUAUCCCUCUAUUGAAACUUAGUGAUUCAGGAUCCACAACUAACAAGUCCACUAGUGAGCUUUAGCAUCACCGCUAGCAAACGAGGUAGAUCGGUAAGCAACUUUUGCUAAUCAUAUCACAUAUGACUCCUGUUGUUGGGUGACAUCUCUAUGUCUCGGCGCCCAACCUUUAUGCCCCAAGGUCCUUAACCGUUAAGAUAACCUCGUUAAGCAAACCAACCCUUAUGCGUGUAAGUGUCCGACACAAACCCGUCUAGUCAAGGAAAACUAGUGGCACCCUAAUUUCAUAGACCCACCACUAAUUGUACAAGACAUGGGACGGUGCAAGUUUUAGUUGGGAGGGCAUACUAACUUAAACUUUGUGAGGGAUCAUUCUACUUCUAACAUCACAGCAUGCAGAAAGUAAAACAUAAACAGAAUAACAUUCACACAGUUGUGACACAGUAUGGCCCGUUUUCAUAUGGUGAUCUCCAUCUCCAUAGAACCUGUUCACCAUGGUGAUCUCCAUCUCCAUGUUCCAUGUGCGCCAUCCUCCUGGUGAUGAGUCCUCCAAGAACUAGAGCAUGCUAUUACGCCUAAUACCAAGAACUCGCAUAUCUCCAUAUGCACACAUCCCGAAUCCAAAACUAAGCAGCUACGGCUCUGAUACCACUGUUGGGAAACGAGGUAGGCUACACUAGCGCAAAUCAAAAUUUCUACCGCGUAUAACCAGGAAGAACUGCCGUAUAAGGAUCACGGGAUUACCACUCGACGCACUACUGGUGCGGAAGAUGUAGAUAUGCGUCGGUGCAGUGAAGACGAUCACGUAGUCGUACGUAGUCGAUCACGUCCAGCAGCUCCUCAGCAGCUCGUCCACGUGCAGCAAGAUCGCCUCCGGUACCGCGGCUCGUCGUGGCUCGUCGGCGGCUCGUCGGUGGCUCGUCCAAGUGCUGCAGGCGCAACACCUCCAAGGUAUCCACACGUGCGGGAAGGAAGCGUCGCAAGCCGGACUGCAAGAUCCGCGAGUUGCAACAGGCGAGGGCGUGGGAGGCGCGGCAGGUGUGUUUCGCCAAAAGGUGUAAACCCUAGGGCGCCCCCACCCCUCUAUGUAUAGAGGUUCCUGAUGGGCCUCUGGAUCCGAGGCCCAUUAGUACUCCUAAACCUAAUCCAACUCGGAUCAGAUCCGAAUUGGGCUUCCAGCCCCUUAAGUGUGUGACCCUAUGGGUUCGGAUACGUAUAGACAUGGCCCGAGUACUCCUACUCGGCCCAAUAGUCGGUAGCGGCCUCUAGCAAGACGUGCCAACUCCUAUACGCACACGAAGAUCAUAUCAGACGAACCAUCACAACAUAAUAUACAUGCUAUUCCCUUUGCCUCACGAUAUUUGGUCUAGCUUCAAGCCGACCGCUCUUUCUCGAUCCUGUGAUUCGGAAUCCCUUUGUAGGUUAACUCUUAACUGUAUGUAGCAUGGCCAUGCAUUUUCGGAUCCGAUCACUCGAGGGGCCCAGAGAUAUCACUCUCAAUCAGAGAGGGGCAAAUCCCAUCUUGAUUGACCAUGUCUCAUAGCAUGCUUCUUGACAAACCCGAAAGCUACCUUUAUAACUACCCUGUUACGGCGUAGCGUUUGAUAGCCCCUAAGUAGGUCGAUCCACAUCUAGAAUACAUGCGACAAUUUUUAUGUGUUCUUAUCCCGACUUCAUUACCAUCAUUUGUACUAUCAUUUGGAUGCCCUAGAAUUCUUAUAAGUCUUUCUUUUUCUUCUCAUUUUGAUGGUUUUGUAAAUUAUCGUUGGGACCUACAAAACACCUACAAAGGUACAUCUCGCAAACAUAUUAGUUCAAAUGACUAUAUUGUCAUUGAUCACCAAGAUUAUUAUGAUCUAUGGCCAUUUUCCUUACACGCAAUAUUAUAAUUGAUGCACGUAUAUAGCAAUCAUUUAUUCCAGGAGAAAAAAAUCAGACUGGAUAGAUGUGACUUCAAAAGGUGUGACGGGAAGGGACAACAAAAAUCCAUUCACCUCCGUUUGAACCCUGUGCUUUGCGGACUCGGCGUCGAUGUCUCGAAUAAGGGGGAAGAGCUUCUUGACACCAGGCUGAACCCUCAGUAUCUUCUCCACGAGCACUACACAACGACCAAAAAACAAAAAAAAAUGCUUAGAAUCUGAGAUGAUAACCCUGUGGAAGAUUAUUGAAUGUGUCCGUGAAAAAUUGAAAACAUACCUUUCCCUAGGAAGCCUGUUGAACCUGUGAUCAGGAUGCUCUUGCCCCUGAAGUAUCCUACAACCCCAUCGGCAUCCAGUUCACUGAUCAUCUUUGAGUGUGUGAGUGUGUGGAUGCGUAUCUCAAAAGUUCUGGAGAUUUAUGCCUCAAUCGUGUCUUUAAAGACUUGUUGGGUGAUCAGUAGUCAACCGGUAUUGUGAUUCUUCAGAGGACGGAAUUGGCCAUGCGUUUAUAGGGAAGAGAAGACAAAAAUGUUGUUCAGUUGUGAGCUCUAUCUGUCCUGGCUAGACGCUACAAAUGGUUUAGGUUAUUUAUCGGGCCGGCAGCAAAUUCUUGCAUAUUUUUUGUAUGUAUUCAAAAUUUACCCACUUACCUCAAUCUCACACAACUGUUAGUGAAGAAUGAACGCAAGUUCUCGCAAAUUUUUUUUGUAUGCAUUAAAAUUUAUUGGGCCUUUCUUAUUAUUGGAUUAUUCUCAUAAUAUUGCAAAUCAUAUGGAAGAACUAUGAGCCAUAUGGGAGCACCUUUUCAUAUCGCGCUUUUCCUAUCAUCUCGUCUACGGCCGUCGACCAAGCCUCGCCCCACCUCCCCAUGCCGGCCCCAGCUCCCAUGCCGCAACCUCGCGCACCCGCUCCAAUGCCUGCUCCUGUACAACACCUACCGGUGAUUCGGUCCCAAACUGGGUUCCUCUGUCCGGUUCAUUCUCUGAACCUCACUACAGCACACUCGUCGAUCUCACCGAUCCCGGCAAACUACCACAGUGGGUUUGCCGAUCCCAACGACUGCCGUGCUGUCACGGUGGGCAAGUUCCAAAGCCCUCAUCGACAAUGGCACCUGGUGCCUUGUCCCGCGAACCCUCAUCGAAACCCCUCUGAAAAUUUUCCACAAAGGUUGAAAUAGAGGGUUUAUACUAUCGACACCAGUAACAAAUUCUGUGUUUUUUGAAACAACUUCUAUGUUGGAAUAGUAAGGAGGACUCAAAUGAGGUGGUGAGAGGUCCUGGGAUCAAGUCCUACAGAUCGCAUGUGUCCGUAUUUUGUGUGAAAAACGUGUGACACAUCAGCAUUUGUAGCAAUUGCAGUAAUCAUUAACAUCAUUAAUUGCAAAAGGUCGUAGUGAAACUAUUAGGGUUUCAUAGAGGUUUCAUGCACAUUAAAUACAGUGACACAUCAGCAUAUGUGAUGACAUGGCAUGAUAGUUAUGAAGUGAGAGAGGGAAGGAGUUUCAUCAGGAUGAAACUGUGUAUACACUGUUUCCAAGACUAUGAAACUUGCAUUGGGGGCUAUAGAGUUUCAUUUCAUCUAACCAUAUCCAAUCACAUGCCUCAUAAUUAAAUGUCAUGGUCAUCCUAUGAAAUCGUGAAAUGAAACUAUGCACUGGGACUCUCUGUUUCAUUCAUGAGAAUACAUCUCAUUGGAUGAUGUGGCAUCCUUGGAAACAGUACGAUGAAACCUCACUGGGACUAGCCUUAUCCUCCAGAUGAAAGUUGUGCCGGAUUCUCAGUUGUCCGAUCCGUAUAUGGGUGCCUCACGUAACUCUCAGUUGUGCUAAAUCAUUCUAAUUACACAGUAUUUCUUGGCAGAUAAAUGUUUUUGGCAAAGCGUAGUUUGAUUGCUAGUUAUUUUCUGAACUUACAAUGGAAAAGGCUUGCUCAUGAUUGUCGAUUUUAUCCAGGCAGGAAGCCACAAAUUUGCCACAAAAAGGUAGCGCUUAACAAAAUGCAUCGGUUCAUCUCCGUCCGGCCUGGAACAUACUCAUGAACUCACUACCGUUGCAUGCCUACUAGUACAUCAAUGUUAGUAUGUGCUAUUCAAUUUUUCUCUAGUGCAUAUAUCAUCACCAUAUGGGGGAUACUCCAAGCAUCCUGUUUAAGUUUGAGUUUCCACUUGCCACCCUCAAAUGCAUCUAAUGUUCACAAUAUUUUUCCUUAGCCAAAUGGCUUUUAGAAAUAUUUUUCGCACUUCCCAUAUAUCAUUUCUGAAACAAAAAGAGCAAACAGGAAUACACGAUCCCCGUCAUCUAACAUGCACCUUGAAAAGCAGAUCUGGAGUUCUUUCUCUUCAAUCGCCAAGUUUCAGAAGGUUUGCCCAAUAAACAUUAUAACUACUAACUAGCGCGAACGCAUUAAGAUUUAGGAGUAUUCCUUAUUACGAACUGAAGCACUUCCUUUCAUGCUCUGCCUGUUUGCUUUGCAGGACCACACUACUUGCAGGGCUUGCAGCCUCUAUGCUUCAUGAUAAUCCUAUCCUGUGCAGGGACUGCGUGCAAGAGAUCUUCAAAGCAGAUUACUCAAAUGGAGCUCAAAUCGAUACGCUGUAUCAAGAAAUCAUUUAUAUGAAUGCAAAGCAAACAAGGGUGCCCACAGCCUUGCUAGGUGAGUAAUUCCAAUGGAAGAACUUGAUGCAGGGUAAAAGUAGACAAUAUAAUCACGCUACAUGUAAAUCUCAAUAUUGCUCCUAUCCCUGGGGACAAGCUAUUUUUUCGAAAGAAGUUUCUCUGCAUGGUAAAAGCCUAGGAAACUCAGGGCGUCCAUCACCCAUCCAGUUUGUCUGCUGGUACGCCGGUACGUGUAGGGGACAUCAGGUCUGAUGCUAAGCUUGCCUUCUUAGGCAGAACCUGUGUGCUUCCCUACCAGCAAUUUGCAUCUCCUUUGAUCAAAGCGGCAAGGAAUGAAUAAAGUCACUUAGCUGAGCAAUUGUGCAGAAUGAAUAAAGCCACAUAGAGCUCAGCUGAUCCCAGUUCCUUGGCAAAUAGGCUUCUUUUGCUCUUUCCCUUUAAACAUCGCCCACAAUCAAAAUUCCCCACAUAUAAACUUAUGGCAUGAAGUUAUAAAUAAGAUCAUCCACAAUCCAAAUCCUCCAGAUGUAGGUAACUUUACCUUUUGCUUUUCUCCUCUUUUCUUUUUCCUUUUCCCUUUUAUCUAUUUCUAGUCCUGCUUCUCCCUCAACCACACUUUAAGCAUCUUCUCUUUGCUUCCUCAGGCAGGCACGAACAGAACCUUCUAAUAUUAAAACAAUGACGGUUGGGUCACCACGCUUGCACACCAUUAACUUCAGUUCUUCCAACCAGUGAGCCUGAGCUCUUGCCUCCAUGGCAAGCCUUAGCACUGGAGCAGGGCCUCCCGUGGUGAAUGUGUACCAUGAGAAGUCCAUGAUCCUACCAGAUGUGUCAAGGGUGCUCACAUGCCUGUAUGAGAAAAAUGUCAAGUUUGAGACAAUCAAAGCCUCUUACAAGGACAUACUCAGCCUCCAGGUAUAUGUCCCAAUGUCCUUUGCAACACCCAAAUAGUAGAAGCAGCAGUUUGUUUGGCUUAGAACAACUCAACCCUCAUCUAAAGUUUGUAUCAUGUUCAUUUGUCUCUGCAGGCAUCAAGAAGUGUUCCGGUUCCAUUCUAUGAUGGUCCCCUGUUUCUGCAAGGUAAUGCCCCUAGCUUGUUGUGUAACGAUUGGGUUGCAUAGUUACAGUGACAUAGUAUUUUGCAAGCCACACAUGCACAUACUAGAAUCAUAUGUUUGUUGUCCAAGUGAAUAACUUAAAUCAGUGACAUACAAAAAAGAAAAACAGUAUGAGAAGCUUGAUGAAUAACAUUUUUGAGUAAAAGCCAGAAUAUACAUCUUUCAGAGAAAGCAAGAAGUAAACCACAAGUAAAAUGAUCAUAUUAGUAGAAAACAAUCAGAUUAAAAAAAAGGUCAUAAGGUGAUUAUUAUCAUUCCAAGGCAGAAUCUUUACGGGAAAAGGUGCAUAAUAAACAUGUUCAUCCACUAGACUUGCAAAAAAUGCUUCCAAUUAGUUUUAGGUUCUUUUUUUAAUCUUCUUGCACAUUAGUUCAGGCUGAAAAGGCCAUACUAUAAGCCAGCAUUUUGUAAUACUCUGUUGAUCUAAAAUUGUUAUGACAUCAGUAUAUUAGCAGCCACAAAGGACAUGAUUUAAAAUUCCUAUUUUCUUCCUCAAAGUAACUACUAAGUUAAUAAUCUUAACUUUAGAAGCAGAGCUUACAUAAUCUGUGCAUAAAAGAUCAACUCAGUGUAUAAACUGAUAUAGGAGACAUACUGAUGAUACUAUUCUCUCACAAAGAUUGAAGAUAUUUUUUAGCAGUAAUUGCUGUGAAGAGCAAUGAAAAUGCGCUAGAUUUGAAAAAGUAAACCUUUAUAUGUGUCAUUCUCAAUUCUUAUUAUUAGUAUCACCUGCUACCUGAAACAAUUAGAAUGGGAAGUGUGCGAGUAGCAGGGUACAUCAAAGAAAAAAUGCACAAAGACUACUAUGGUGCCAAUUAAGUAUAAGGGAUUUGCAUCACAUUCCAAUAACUAUACUUCUUGAUACCAAAAGUAACUCUCAGAAAGAAUAAAAAAGAUAUUGGAACAAUCUGUAGGUCCAAUAAAUAUAAUUUCUUCCUCCCUCACAAAAAAAAUAAGAUUAUAUAGGAUUUCCACUGACUAGCAAUAUGACAACUACAAAACAAAACAAAGACUACUCUGUCUAGAUGUUCAUCCUUCAGCAUUCUAUUUCCAAAUUUUUUACCCACUCUUUUGAUUACAAUGCACUUGUUAUAAUGUAAACUGGUUUGUUCCCAAUCAUGCAUGAAGCUUUAGAAGCAAAUUGUUCCAGGAUCACGAUUUGGAAACGGAAUGCAACGAUGUUUAUAUGUUUUAUAGAAAUGUUUUCAGAAUGAAUAUAUACAUUAAAGUAUUCUACAUGUCUGUACUAGCAGGAUUGCAUGGUAGCAACACAAAAUGGUGCUUCUUUCCAUGAAUCACACCAGAAAUAUAAAUGUGUGAAGCAAAUAAACCAGAAAUAUAGAUGAUACACCUUGAGACAGAAUGCAGAACUGACCUGUCCCAUAAACUGCAGAUUCAAGAGCAAUCUGCCGCUAUCUAGCAGAGACCUAUGAGCAUCAGGGGUAUCCUUUCCUUCUGGGAAAGGAUGUCCUUGAGAGGGCUUCCAUUGAACAAUGGCUCCGGAAUGAGGAGCAUGCCUUCGACCCUCCAAGCCGGGCAUUGUUCUGCCAUAUCGCCUUCCCACUGCAUGAUGAGGAUGAUGAAAACAAUGAAGACAUCAACCGAGAGAAGCGGAAGCUGGAGGAAGUUCUGGAAGUCUACGAGCAGAGGCUUGGUGAGAGCGACUACCUUGCUGGGAACAAGUUCACUCUUGCCGACCUUGUUCAUCUGCCUGGUACCCACCAUGUCAUUACAUCCGAGAGAUUUGCCUACCUGUAUGACUCAAGGAAGAAUGUGCAAAACUGGUGGAACAGGAUCUCAGCCCGAGAUUCCUGGCAGCAGGUGCUGAGGGACAUGAAGACCGUGGAGGAGGAGCACAUAAAGGAGGAGUAUGAGAGGCAGCAGCAGCAGCGAUGGCAGACAGAGCCACAGUUUGUCCGCGACAUUCACAUAAGCCAUCGGCAGCAGGAGGGCACAAAGUCACAGACGGUGCUGGUUGCGCCUCCCAGCACUGGUACCAUCAUAACCUCUAUUUCACCAGCUCCACGAGAACAUGAAAAUACCACUGAACAUAAGCCUUCCUCGCCUGUCGAAAGAAAUCAAGGUGGCUUCUUUACAACCACUGAAAAAACACAACCACCAUCACGGCAGACAGAUUCUACCACUCAGAAACCACCUAGUAGUGUCCAGAGCACUAAAAGUAACUUCUUCACCCAGCCUUCCACUCCUACCACUGCCAAGAUGCAUCAGAGAACCGAUGCCGAGAAGCCCAUCCACAAAGAUGCCUCAUCUCCUAGCAAAACCAGUCAAAUAUCACCCAAAGAAGCUCCUGAUAAGCCCCAUCUUUCUGGAUUUUUUAAGGUCAGUGGCUAUAAAUAUGAGGCAGGAUCUGUUGCCAAGCCCAGUCCACAAGCUCCCUCUGGGACCCCUGGAGCUAGGCAGGCCAGUGAAGCAGUUGCUAGUGACAAGCCCAGUCAAGGAUCAGCCAAAUCUCCCCACAGAAUUACUGAACCAGAUUACAGUGAAAGUGAGAGCAAACCUUUUGGCGUCCACCCUCAGGUUGACAAGCCUGACACACAAAAACAACAAACACCUUAUGGAAAGCCUCCUGAACAGACAGUUACACACACUUAUGUCGGUCCUGAGGCAGGUGAAAAACAGAAAAGUGCAAUGGGCACUCAUUAUGCUCAAGGUGAAACUGCAAAACAAUCUACAUACUCUGGUUACCCAGCUAUUGCAAAGAGAGCAACAGAGGCUGAUCAAAAUCGGGCUCCACCACCUAGAGCCCAGGAAGUACAAUCAGGUGUCCAGGAUGCCCAGAAGCAAGCUAAAGCACUGCCUGCUGAUCAGAAAGCAUCUGGCACAUCACCAUUGCAAGUAGAAUCUGAAGAAGAUACUCAAGGUGGCAUUGAUGAAGAUGAAAGAUUCUCAACUAAGAGGCUCAGGAGAAUGUUUGAUCCAGACGCUCCAGAUUCUCAAGACCCUGCCAUGGAGGGGGAAGCACCUGCCAUAUCCAAUAUGCCUUCAGAUGUCCAUGACAGAGAAAAGAAAACCACAACAGUACCAGCCACUCCUCCAACAGGCACAAGAGCUCCUUACACUCCAGAGACAGCAGAUGAAAGGGGAGCCAUUUUGCCACCUAAAGGAGUGCCUUACAAUGACCGUGCUACUUCUGGGCCAGAAAAAACACCACCCAUUCAACAAGUACCUCCUGCUGCUCCUAGAACUGACAAAUUGUCCAAAACAGAAGAUGCUAGCAUGAGAGGACCACAAGGAGCACCACAGCAAACCACAGUUGAUGCUAGAAGUGGUUCAGCACUUGUGCAAGGAGCUGAUGCACAUGCUCGUGUUAUCAGUGAUGAACAGACAUACAAGAAUUCCACCAUGGGUGGAAAAGCUCCAGAGGCAACAAGGAAGGCUUCUGACAGUCAAGGUACUUCAGCAUUGAUCCAAGAACCAAUUCUUGAUACCCGUGGGAAGCAAGCACCAGUUGGCCAAGAAGAAAUCCCCGGUGUUCGAGAUAUCGGUGACCGGGACACAACAAAAAAAUCUAUUAUUAACAAAAGGGCAGCAGAACCAACUUCAGGUUCUCAACAAAUUACAGAACCAGUUAAAGGAGCAGGCCCUACCUCACCUAAAACCCCUGGUGAUAAGUCAACCAGAGCAGCAACAGCUGAUCCAGGUGCAGAACUGACUGCACCAGUAGGAGCACCAGCUUUGGGUGGACAGAAUGCUUCUGCAGUUCUCCGAGAAGGAAAUCUUGAUGCUAAUAGCAAGAAUGAGGCAGCCAAACCAUCUCCUGGUGAUCUAAGAACCACACUCCCAACUACACCAGGAAGGCUAGCACCAAGUCCUGAGACACAAUCCCAUGACACUUCAGGUAAAAUUUCUGCAUUUCUGUAGACAUUGCAUCAUUACUGUAAAAUCAUUUCUCAUAUAGCAGGAAACUGUUAGGUGUUUCUUAUGGAACAAAUUAAGUUUAAGUACAAUACUAUUUUAGACAGCUAAGCUGUCAUGCAUAAAUUUAGUUACAUUUCUUUUUUCACUAGGACAACUAGUCCUUGUCUUACGGAGAGAUUCUUUAGAACCUUUAUAAGCUAUAAUGUUUGGUGUGUUGGCUGAUCAUAGGUAUAAUCAUGACAUAAUGCAGGUCAAUUGUCAAAACCAUCUCCACCAGUAUCUUCCUUAUCUGACACAAGGAAGGAGAAGACUGGUAUUGCUGAAACCAUUCAAACUAGUGUGGUAUCACCCAAUGAUCAGCUGGGUGGGCAAGCUACGAGGAAUGCUGGACCAGCUUCUGUACCUCCAGCAGUGAAGUCACCAGAAGAUAACAAAACAUACCAGGAAGAAGCAGCCAGACAAGAGCUACCAAGAGAUCAAUCCAGGGCUCAGUUAGCUGAAAAGAAGAAGCAAGGCGACGAUGCAACACCAACCACUAGAAUUGGCAAGCGCAAAGAUGAAGAUUCCUUGGCAAAUACCAGUGACAAUAUCACUGAACAGGCUCAAGGAACAACACAUGAUGCGCCAUCCAAGCUGCAGAUACAGUCUGACAAGAAAGAGCCUCAACCGUCAAAAGAUGGUGGCAAGCAAAUGAAAGAGACAACAAAUUCUUCUAGCUUAUCAACAUCCAAAGAAGUAUUGCCUUCACUCCCUGAGAAGAGAAAGCAAGAGCAGCAACUGAAAGGAGACAGGUCUGGUAUAUCACUGCAAGAAAAUGUAAAGCAGGGUUAUGAAACCACACCACUGGGGUCUGGAACAGUGCAGCAAAAGAAGGAUAUCUCCACAGAUGCAGAUAAGAACUAUGAGAAAACUUCAGAAGUUAAUCCGGAAGAAAAAAAUCCCCUCUGAUACUCAGCAAAUGAAGAACAACAGAAGUGAUAGCAAACCAGAUAGCUCAAGCAAACCUAACAAAGGUAAUCUUCCUGAGUCAGAGAGGCGUGGCUUGUAGACAGACCUAUGAAGCACCUACUUCAUGUCAUAUUCCUGUAGUUUAUUUGUUGAAGUCUUCUCUACCUCACCACUUUCACAUGUUGAUGUAAUAAGGUCUGUAACCUUAGCACCUUCAGACCAAUCGUGGCAUCUAUAUGACAUGUUAUUUUGCUGUUUUUCUGUGAUCAAUGACUUGUUUAGAUGUCGAAGUCCUCAUUCUAGUUUUGAAUCAUGACUACCUAAAAUUUUGGCUGAUGCAAUAAAUAAUAAAUACUCCCUCCGUCCCAAGAUAAGUGUUCAUUUAGAAAAUUUUGGACACAUUAGUAGUUGUGAGAAAUAACCAUGUUACCCCUUAUUAUUCAUACUAGUUGUUAUUGAAAGUUGUGAUGUCUAUUUAGUUUUCUGGAUCCUAAGUAAAUUUAUGUGCAUUGGAACCUGAGAAAUAGCAUAAAUUCAUUUGAUUGGCUCCACACACUUCUCCAUACCCUCUUUUUUAUUGAUGUGGGUAUUGCUUUAAUUAGAUGCGAUUCACUAGGAGUUAAAAGAACACUCUUUGCAGGACAAAAUUUGAAAGCUAAAACAACACUUAUUUUGGAAUGGAGGGAGUAUGUUCCUUUGUAAAUUAUCUCUAGUGUUCACCUAGUUCCUUUGUAAAUUAACUCCAUCUGCUCUCAAUUGCUAGUCUCGAAAGUAUGAACCAUUAAUUGGAACCUCAGACAGGUAAUUAGCCCAUUAACAACUAGAAUAUGGAACUGAUUGAUUAGUAGUUUGCAUCAGUUCGGUCUGGGAAGUUGUUUGGCUUUUCUAUAAGGGAAGAAUGCAGUCACAUUGCACAAAGUGGCAAUCUGCAGUAGUUAUGCUGCUCUGUGAAAUAUAGUUGGUUUAAAGAAUUUUGACUAAUUCCAGUUAGAUCUACUCUAACUUUUAUGGCAAGCAAAGGUUUCAAAGUACUGCAUCCAAAUUAGAAAGGAAAACACUUUUGAAAAGCGACAACAAUUCCAAAUAGAACAAAAAAGAAUGUGAGGUUAGCACCAUUAACACAGAUAUAGCAUUGUCGCUUAUUUAUCAACAAAUAUGAUAUUAGAAUCGUGGUUUGUUUCUCGUUAAUGUGGGUUCCUCUGCAUCAAAAACAAAAAGGCAUCACCGCUGCACAAAAAUGGUACCAAUGGUCACCACAUUAUGCCUCAUCCUAGGUCUGUUGCCAUGUGUUUUCUCCUCAAUGUCAGGACAUUUUUCAGCAAAAUAUAGCGGUAAUAGAGAAGUAGUAGCAUUCAGAUAAACAAAUUUACAGAACAAUUGAGACUAGAAAGAGAGCCACUAAUCACCGCAAUCCGCUUAGAGCAGCUAAUAGGACGUCACCAAAUCAGAGGUUACCAUCCAGAAACCCAGCUCGUCGUUGAGCGCGACCGCGUCGCACCCCCGGCCGGCGGCGCCGGCGGGCAUGACGGCUCCUCCCAAGCCCUGCUAGAGGUCCGCCUCUCCACCUCCGCCCACGCCCAUCCCAGCCGAUGCUAGCCUUCUCGACCACGCCUUGCAGACCGCUGGAACUCUUGGGCCCGACGUCGCCGUCGCCGCCGCCACCGCCGCCGUGGCCGCAAACCAUGAAGGUUUUCUUUCGGGCCAGCGGUACCCGCGACCGUGCGGAUGGCAGCGUCCUGGGCCUUGUACGAG
This 52555-nucleotide long non-coding RNA is filed under the name Setaria italica (foxtail millet). Its description in RNAcentral is "long non-coding RNA (SITA_LNC004458)". Lineage: Eukaryota; Viridiplantae; Streptophyta; Magnoliopsida; Poales; Poaceae. The record is from RNAcentral.